This 54599-nucleotide long non-coding RNA is filed under the name Musa acuminata (dwarf banana). RNAcentral describes it as "long non-coding RNA (MACU_LNC007987)". Lineage: Eukaryota; Viridiplantae; Streptophyta; Magnoliopsida; Zingiberales; Musaceae. The record is from RNAcentral.
GGUGCUGAAAGCCUCGAGGCCCGUAACUACAGAAUAAGAGUCAGGUCGGUAAGCGCGUAGGGGGAUUCUGAUAUUGCUAGUAAAGUAUGAGAAGCACCAGUUGGUUUCUCAGUUAUUGAUUCAAGCAUUAGAAGCACUAGUCGCAUUCUUUUUAUAGUAGUGGAUUUCCUGGUUUCUUUCCCGGUUCGGCUAUUGCCAGUAGCUGUGUCAUUCCAAGUUUCCAGCUAUAUCCCUAUAGUUGCAGUUGCCUCAUCAGUAGUGUUUCUAUCCAUGUAGGGGCGUUUCGAUUCCCUGUUCCGAGUUAAGAUCUUAGAAGCGGUAACUCAAUUCUGGAUUCUAUUAAGUGAAAGCAUUAGAAGCGCUAGCUACAGUUUGAAAGUAAGCAUAGUCAGAAUCCACAGUUAGUAGAACAAAGAUAUGAAUCGGGAGUUAGAGAAUCCAAAGUCAAAUACAAAACUCAACCCAGCAGUAAGGGGAUGAAAACUAAGAUAGUGAGGGCGAUAGUAAGUAGAACAAGUCUGUUAGCCAUAGGUUGAUUCUCUCUUAUGAGAUUAUGGACGAGAACCUGGAGAGUAAGCCCGAGAAGCUGCAGUUCUAUUCUUAGAUGUAGUAAAGCAAGCAUUACUAGAUUAAGCGCGGCUGGUUAGUUGGAAUAGGAGUUUAGUGAAGGACAUCUUAGGUGCCAGUAUCGGCAGUGCAGAUGUUGAUUCCACGCUCACUUACUUUGUAUCCAGGUAGGGUGGUGGACUGACUUGGUGGUCCAACUGUUGUUGCAAGAGAAGUCGAAAGUCCAUUAUUGGCCCUGACCUAUAGGCCCUAUAGUUCAAGAGAAGAAGUAGCCCUUAUAGUCAGUUUCGGUUGAAGGUGCGAGUGUUGGUUCGUGGCUUUCCCUUUGCGUGGAGUACACGGUUGAAAGUUGGCUUGUUCCUGCGCUGGCUUAGUCUUAAGGAACGGUAUAAGAAGAUGAAUAAGCUGUUUGUAGUUCCUUGACUUCUAUCCCAUGUGUUCAAUAAGAUAAUAAAUGCUGUAUUUACUCCUCAAUGAGUAUCUGUCUGUUCUUGUUUCAAAUCCCUUGUUUUAUCGUAUCUAGUUGUUUGCUCCUUUAAGAAUGGAGUUGACUACUAGAAGCCGGGAAAAAAGCCGAAGAUAGCAAAUGAACUCUAAACUCGUUCCCCCAGUAGCUGCCUUCCGAUGGUAUCUUUUAAGGGCUCGUGUCUGGUCGGCUGUAUACUAGCUUCUCUGAGCAUGCGUGAAUCCCUGUCGGAAAGUAGAUUCCUCCGCAUGAAGGGAAAUCAAUUGCGUCUCGACUACCACCCUACCCGGGACUGUAAACUAUCCCAACAACCCAUAAUGACAUGACUGGAAUCUAAAGAAGUCGCUUGAACCCCUCGGUGCCGUAUUAUGAUGGAGAGCAUAAACCGUUGGGUCGCUGGAAGAGCAUUUGGAUUUGUCUAUGAAACUACAGCCUGGGUGGAAUGAUCCCCGCUUUCCUCGUUCAUAUGUGACCUCACCUCAUCUCCGUCGGUUGAAGACGAGGCAUCUUCUGACCCCACCCACUUAGCUCCCGGGGGGCAAACUGGAGGUUUGUGUUGGUAGUCUUCUAUCCCCUCUGGAAUGCUAAGUCUUGCUUCUAUCUUCGUCCAUUCUCCAGCGUAGUCUUUUGAACACCUCCUAAAGCUGCUUCUUGAAUACCGCUUUCUCUUUAUCCCAUUCCCACUUUCUCUGGUUGACAAAACCACUUUGCGCAGAUCACUCCUACACGAGUAUUAUACUAGCCUUAUAAAUAGCCUUACCAGCAACGGGGCUUGCUAAAGGGCUGUGAACGUUAACCAUUUGAAGUCGUAAGGCAGGCUACUUACUAAGGCAUUUCAUCAGGUCUGGAAGAAGUGGAAAGAGAAAAGGCAUUCGAGCAAAAGCGACUUAUUCUUGAAAAAUGUUUCUAUGGGGGUUAUAAGGAACUUGAAAAAGGCAUGGAAAGAAGUCUGCCCCUCCUUUUUCUAGUGAAUGUCGGAAAUCUUAUUAGAGAUUGAGAUUCUUUCUUGUCUGAGACUGUAGCCAGCUUAUAAGGAGAGUGAUGCACUAUUCGCUAAUUAGGAAAGAGGGUUGACUCUUGCUUGUCGAUCUCUAUUCCUCCUAUUGUAUAUUAAGGUCGAUCUCUAUUCCUCCUAUUGUAUAUUAAGUAUGUAACUUGCUUUCACUAGUAGCUGCUAUUCUCCUCACUGCAGAUAAGGCCAAAACUGCCUAAUACUAUGUCCUGUCCCCUGCUCUUAGAUUCACAAUGGAAUUGAAGAUAGCGCUAUCACAUCACAUAUAGAAAUUGUAGUAAAAACACAGAGCUCUAUAGUGUGGUUACAAAUUCUAUAUAUAAGAAUAUAUGUAUACUUAUUCCGGAACCUUCUAAGAAUAUAUGUAUACUUAUUCCGGAACCUUAUAUUGAUUAAGGCUUGGAAUCUCCCAAUCACCGGAUCGGAUCAGCAGUGAAAUGUAUUAUUAUAUAUCUGAUAGCUUAUUAAGUGGGUGGGCACUCCCAUAAAGUCUGUCUACAAAGCCCUUGACUUUCGCCUAAGGCAUCAGAUCCUAAGGUUUGAUAUGAAAUGGCUCUAUAUCCAGCCACUUCUUCGUCAUCAGCAAAGAGAAGUUACUAGCGGGUCGUCGAUAAGGAACUUUCCCCUUAUUUGGUUGGGGGCAAAGAAGAGCUUAAGACACCCUUUGUUUGCUUGGCGGUAAACUGAACUUUGCUAAUCGGGGCUUAUGAAAGACAUAGAAAACACAUUCAGACUGCACUUGAAAAGAGGAGUGGAAUAUAGAAAGAGCACACGCAACGCAACGGAGCCCUUCUUUAAACACCAACACCAGUAGGCUCAAGCGCUAUAGAGAAAUAUCUGAAUUCAUUAUAUGAUGGCAAAGAAUGUAGGUUUGGGGGUAAGUUAAGUCUAUGGAAACCGUAUCGAAAGCGAGAUCAGACUGACCUUUAUUGCUGGAAUGAUUCAAUAGUAGCAAAAUGCAUGUAGCCCGGGCCAAAAAGCUUGUUUCCUCUAGAGAGUUUCUCUUCGGCCUUGCCCUCCGCUUCUUCGAACCCGCAAUAUAGCAGCAAGCAAUCCCGCUUCAAAAAGAGAAUAGGGAAUCCCGCUUCAAAAAGAGAAUAGGGAUAGGGUAAGUGAUACCGAAAAAGACAUCAUCAUAGGUUGGGGUAAAGAAAUGAGAUUAUUGCAAUGCCAAGGCAAGAGUGAAUAUGACUUAUUGCAAUGCCAAGGCAAGAGUAGAUAUUAACUUAUUGUCGGGGCCAUCACCUCUGUUACAAGGCAAGAGUAGAUAUUAACUUAUUGUCGGGGCUAUCACCUCUGUGAGAAUAUAUGGAGAUCAUUUAAGUGAUCAAAGCGAAAAAGGAAUUUGGACUUGCAUUGCAGGCUUCUACGAUGGGCGGGAAUCAUAAGAAAGAAAGCCCUAUGAUGUGAAAGCUCCCCGCCCUUACGCCUCACCCUUCUACUCUUGGUUGACGAUCCGGUCCAAGAUUUCCUCAGUUCGGAUUUCUCUACGAAAACUAUCUAGGGAAGAUGAAAACCCAGUUGCUCAAGCACCGCAAAGGUAAUCCUCAUUAUGUUUGUUUGAACGUUCUUCUCCUGUUAUUUAUUAUGAUUAUAGAUAGCAUAUAAAGAAUAUGAUUAUAGAUAGCAUAUAAAGAAAGCAUUUAGUAUAUCUCUUAAUAACUCUCAAACUAUAGCAUAUAAAGAAAGCAUUGAGUAUAUCUAUCUCUUAAUAACUCUCAAACUCAUUCGUGUACAAAGCAGUGCAGACGAAGUCCAAAUCCAUUGCUUGGAAUUACAUCAUCUUUUCGUCUAAGGUCGGAUCGGAUGUAGGCGAAUCCAACCAAGCUAAGUUACAGCCACAUAUAAGAAACCUUGCAUCUAAUCUGAAUCAAUCGUUUGCCUUUGAAUGAGCUCAGUAAAAAGAUAGAGAAUAAGCUCAUUUAACUUCACUAAUGUUUACUGUGACCCCACUUCUCUAGCUGUUGUAAAAACACUAUGUUGGGAAUACUGGCCUCUGGUAAGAUAACAACUAUGAUGCUAUACCCUUUCGAAAACAACUAUGAUGCUAUACCCUUUCAAAAACAGAGUCUCUCCCAUAACUAUCCAAAAGUGGUUCUCUUUCCGAUUACUAUUCUGGGAAAAUCCAAAUAGACCUUGAGUAUUGCGCUUUCAAAAGAGAAAGGUACGGGACCCUCAUGGCACUGAUCGGCCUUGAACGGAAGCUACUUUGUUGGAGAGGGUGUGGAUGCUAAUUCCAAUGUUGGCUAAUGAAAAGGUCUUUCGUCAGUCAGCUAUCUUACCUUCAAUCUGACCUUAAAGUAAACCACCAGUUGUAAGCCGGGUUAGUGAAGCUCUUGACUGUCUUAUCCCUGGUUAGUUAAGCUCGGUUAGUUAAGCUCUUGACUGUCUUAUCCCUGUUCUCACUCAAUCCGGGUUAGUUAAGCUCUCUCUUGCCAGAAGGUGGAAGCAAGGGCGAUUACCCUACCCUUGGGAAGUAACGAUAAUGGUUUCUCCACGGAAUAUGGUGGGAUAUUUGAUUCUAUGUUUGAGUUUUGGGAUGGACUUGGAAUCCACUACUGGCUCAUAGGAUGCUUACUCGGAUUCUGUAACUGGCAAUUCGCAUUCUUCUUAUUAUCUCUAAUACUUGCACUUUGCCCUGGCUUUAGACCCUGACUUUCUUCUUUAGAGUGUAGUGGCUUGGGCAGUUUACGUAGGCAGUUGAGAUGAGCAUUCAAACAUCAAUUCCUUAACAGCUUCCUUUCGAACAGCUUCGCUUCCUCUGUGUCUUCUUCUCCCGCUUCAGAUCCGGAUUUCACCCUCUGAAUGAGAUUUGAGAUUCGAUGAGGCUUCUUAAUAAGAUGAAACAAGCAAUAGGCGAACUUAACUCCACUUUGGGACAGAUACGCUUGCGCCAACACACACCUCUGAUUCUUUAAUGACUAAUUGUUCUAUACAAUCAAGACCCCCGGAUUUCUCUUAUUCUUAUUCAUGGAGCUUCUUUUCUAAGGUUACCUUGAGACUUUCUUUACCGACGGAGAUGAGCAUUCAAAACGAAACUAUUUCCAUAGGAUCAAAGUCGAACAGGCAAUUCUCGGCAUAACACCCAUGUGAGACAGAGCUAAUGUAACUGAAUGAAUACUUUGCCUCUGGCCUGCUAGUCUAGGGAACAUGUGGAGGCAGCCCCCUCUACUGUUUAGUGAGUUUUCUUUUGGGUGUUUUGUUACAGUUGUCCAUUAUAUGUUAGCUCCAUUCCAUUUCUGAAGCGCGUUAGUCAGUUGUUAGGAUAGGGCCUACCAAAUCUUCUUUUGACUUUCCGGGGUAGGUGCCCAUCCGCUUUUCCACUCCAUGCUUUUUGGCCUUCAUUCUAUUCUUUCGAGUGAAGUUAGCCGUUGCACAAGAACAAGCAGUAACUGGUUGGUGGGUUUGGGGAGUUGGGGAUAGCGGUGGCCUAGCUGAUAGAUUCAAGUAAAGAGUCAGGAGUUACUAGUGCGAGGUUACUACUCCUUGGGUCUGAGUCCGGAGUGACUAGUGCUUAGAGGUUAGCACGGAGUGGGUCUAUAAUGUGUCAGUGAGAUUCAUUUCUUUGAAAAGCAAGUUACCAAGUUCCAGCAACAGGCCAAGCGUAUACCUUAUUUCAUGCAAGUUUAGUAUCAAAUAGGGAAUUAGGGAAUCCGAGGUUAGAAGCAGUUCCCAAAGGAAGGGGAAGCAGUCUCUUUACUCAGUGCUAUACCUAGUGAAAAAUCAGAUACUAUUUCUAUCCCUAGUGCUCAAUAAGUGGAAAAAGGUAGAGUUGCCUGUUUAGGUUCCAGUUUCUCAAGAGAAGCAAGCGGUAUCUAAGUCUGGUGGGUGUCCAAGCCUAACUGCCGCUUAGCUCGCUGCCGCCAUGAAUAAAGAGUGAUAACUCGUUAUGACCAAGUCCUGUCCUGUACGGGCUCUGCUCUAUCAGCUGACUCUAAAUCAUAUGUACUACUUCCUGCUUACUUUAAUGCUCUAUCCGCUCUGACUCAAAAAGCAACAGAAUAAGAAGCAACCGGUGCCUCACGCUACUAACUUCUUGUUUCGGGGUUAGGUGGAGCUAGAUCUGGAUCAGAGGCUUGAUCUGUGCCAACUCAAUCGGAUAGUGGAACAAAAACGAUUCUAUCUGUCUGUACCAACUCCAUAAGAGAAAUUCCAUACUGAAGUUUGAGGGUGGUAGGACUUUCCCUUUGCUUUGCAUGCUUGGCGGAACCUUGUAGUGGUCGACCCCUGCUCUAGCUGGUAACUCCACUGAUUCUAGUCGGUGCUGUAGCUACUUGUCGGCGAGUGACAGUUCCUGUUCGAGUUUCAUCAUAUAUAGAUAGAAUAAGAUAAUAUGCUGUGCGGUACCCAUAUAGGUAUAAUAAGAUAAUAUGCUGUGCGGUACCCAGGCGUUGAACCGCUCCUGCCGCGCAAGCGAACAGAGAAUAGUUUUGGUUCAUCUUAAGUCGCUAAUGGAAUGGGAACCGCUCCUUACGCGCAUUCGUGCUGUUGUUCCAAAGGUGGUAUUUUUUUUCACUAAGUCAGGAAAGAAUAAGGUCCGGAAUGAAUGAAGAAGGGAGUUGGUUACAUCAUUCUUUGUCAAUGCUACUCCUUUGUGCGGGGUAGAAGGACUAAUGGAAUUAUCCUAAGGAGAUAGAUUCUUUCUAAGCCUAUCUAUAAGAGGAUGAUAGAAGGCAUAAUUCCGGGGUUUCUAAGAAGGAAGUGGGCUCCAUCCCCCUAUUAUUACCUGAUAGCUCCAUCCUCUUCUUAUGUUUAUUACUUUAACACAAACAAGGGAUUACUGAAACUAUAGCACCGAACCUAGUAGCACCCAAAGCAAAGAGACGAGACUUGAAGUUCAAAACAAACCGCUUGCACCUGCUCUUAACCGGCCAGUACUGGAUUAUUACCUUCGCCCUGCCAGGCAAUUCUUCACUACUCUAAGAUUUCCCGAAACUACUUGUUCUUUCGCCCUGUCCUUGCUUUUCAUUCGCAACUGUAGUUGCUCAUCCCGUUGCUUGGCCCCUUUGCUUCAACUCCCCUUGAGUACCUAAUUGUGGAUUCUCUUGGCAAACUAUACUUUCCUUCCUCUUAUACUUAUUAUUCUGUUACCAAUGACCCAGUACAGGAUUCUUUUAUUCCCGCUUGGCACAAGCUACUACUCAUUCUGUUUUCGGGAGCUCCAGUAGGGAGUUAGUAUGAGUCAUUAAAGUCACAGUUUUAGGGGUCAGCUACUUAUCCCUUCCUUUGGUGACUUUGAUUCUCUAAAUGCUAAGUUAACCUACAUUCCAUUCCACAAGUCCAGUUUUUGGCUACCCCAUAUCUAUUCUCUUAGCGUCUAGACUGCUGACUUUAGACCGAGAUACUUGACUGCUCCUGCUUAUGCUUGAAAGCCUAUAUCCCUUUUUUCCUUUAGCGUGUAAGACCCAUGUUCCUAGUAGCCCCCUAAAACAUAAUGGUCGGUAAGUGAACUCUAUUCUUAAAAGAGAACUAGGUUUGUUAGGUACCCAUAUCUAUGAAAAUAAGGUUGGUCAGGUACCAAUAUCUCUAUGAAAAGAAUAUAUAAGUGUAUAAUAUGCCCUGCUUCUAUAUGAUCUCGUUUAACAAUUCGAUUCUUCUCCUUUAUUCAUCAUGGUUUUGAUGCCCCCUAAGUGGUCCAACCCCAAGCAUGAAAGGUUUACUCGGCAUCAGGAAAGAUAGUUUCAAGUAAGAUAGGUGAAGAAAGUGAUAUUUCAGUAGAAUUUGACUGAGACACAUAUAGACCCAAAGAGCGGUAACCAAAGAGAUAGGUUGGAUUCGAGAUGAUCUUCUUUCUUCUUUAUACGAUGACUUUUCGCACGGCAUCUGAAACUAUAACUGGAACUCUACUUUAUACAGCUAAUUCACCUUAUUCCUCUUCUCCUGAUCCUUCUGAUUUACAAUAUUCUAGUGGAUACUCAACGGAAGAAGAAACUAGCACAGCGUAGCCAAUCACUUCUAUUGGAGACUUUGCGCGCGCACACCUAAUAGCUACUGUUUCCUGCUCUGUGGUGUGGGCAUGAGAUUAGCAUUCGGCUUCUGUAAACUCGGAUGAAACUCAAACCGUAUCAGCUUCAUCAGAAGUGCUAGAUGAUGACCUUCCUUAACCUAGCUUUCCAGUCAAUACUAACCGAUACCCCUCUGCCUGGCUGUGGAAUGAAGUUCAAUCAAAAGAGAAACACAGGAGCCUAAGUAGGCCUAAUUCUGGUAUCAAAUCAAUUGAAUUAGAUGAACUCUAGUUCUUAAAGAAGCAAGUCAAGUUAUCGGUGAAGAAAUAUAAGUGAUAGUGGAAUCUGUAUUAGUUGACUACCCGGUAUUGUAUUAUUAGUAUGAGUAAAGAGGAAAGAAGUUUCAGAGUGCUAGGUGUGUUGGCUACUAGUUUCAUCCCGUAGAGUUAAUGGGUUUACUAAUGAAAUGGAAUCUAAAGCAGAAGCAUCAGAUCUUCUCUCCAACUCUGGAAGUAAGGUUUCAUCUAAUACAAAGAAUAAGGUGCUGAAAGCCUACAAAUACUUACUGAAACUAGCCAAGCUACUAUUGAGGAAGGAAAGAAAGCCAGUUAGUGCAGAGGCUACAAUUGACAAGCUUAAGGAGUAAUGUUGCCCGGAAAGCAGGAUUCCAGUCUCGUUGACUCGGCAGGGAGGAAAGUGAAAGUUCUCUUAGUGCUACAGAAUUGACUACCUCCCGGAAAGCUUAUCUCAAGGCGACAUCCCGGCCAAGCAGACAGCCAGCCAAGAUCCUUCAAUACCAGAUGCGUAAGAUUUGUGAUAUGCGUAAGAUGGGUGAUACGGGUGGUUCCUCUCCUUCAAUGCUUCAAUGAAUAGAUAUAACGGCCAAGCUUAGGAUAGACAAGACACGCAGACAAGUAACUACUCCAUUCCCUCACUGCGGUUGUUACUUUAGCGUAACAUUAUAAGUGUCUUGGCGGGGAUUCAACCAGAACGGGAUCAGGAGCAGUACUAAAGGGAUGGGAUUCCACUCGCCCAGCAGAGCCAGCAGGGUUCAAUGAAUUGUAAACAUUGACUAAGAGAGCUUAGUUACUUAUGGUAAAAGGAAUGAGACCUUCUAAGCCCCAUAACUGCCACUACUGCUAUACCCAAACCAUACCCGAAACUAAGCUUUGGCACUAAGAAUAAGGGAACGAAUAAAGGAACUCUGCCUCUUGCUCUACAACAGUUGUUACCGAGUCCUUUGUUUGGGUUAGUGACUUAUUAACAGCAGUGAAAUCUCAAUAGGGAACUUCACCUUACCCAGUAGCAGUGAAAUCUCCAGCUCGGAAAGCACUCUCCAUUAAGUGGUAAAGAGAAAGGGUUGAUACAAUGCAAUCGGUAACUAUUUCUUUGAUACCUGAAUUCGGCUACUAUACUCUGGUUCCUUGAUACUCUCUCUGCUCUAGCUGUUAGUAACGAGUCCUGUGUGAGCCUGUCCGGUAAGAACUAGUUCGGUUUACAAGGGUUUCGUCAAAGUGGUAUUUACUACUUGUUUAUAGACUUACCCAUCACCUGCAGGCUCUGGCUCUGUGAACUCGGUGGGCAAGGGGCCAAGCAACUUCUAAUGACCAAGCAACGGCGAAAGACGUUGGGCGGUAGCCAAUAAACAGUUCUUACGAAGUUAUUACAAUAUAUGCCUUCGGCGGCAGGAGCCCCGGUAAUAUUAGUGGAAUUCUGGGACGAGUGAGAAGAAGACCGCUACUUAGCUACCCGGCUGCAUUCUGGUUAGCACUAGUUUCAGUAUGUGGCUAGUUAGUGUCAUUCUUAUCUACUACCCUGGAUGCUCUGAUCCACUACCCUAGAUGCUUGGCCCUUUGACAAUAGGUGGUUUAAUAACAUUCUUAUGGAUUAACUCGUUGAUGAAUGGAGGGCCCACUUUACGACGAGAAAGAAUUUGUACUCUAUAAAGCGAUAUUGAGCUGUAGUUAUCAAGUGGUCGUGUACUGUGUCUAUAGGAGAAUCUUUUAUCAACAUUUCUUUGACUACACUCAUUGCGGGCAUCCCUAUAACAUUUCUUUGCCUACACUCAUUGCGGGCAUCCCUCUCGGUCGAUAUUUCAGUAUUCCUAUAUACCCUACAAAAGAUGAAGUCUAUCAUAAACCCGGACUCCAUUAUCAUCUCGUCCUGUACCGUGGUCAAGUUAGGGACUCUCUCGAAAACUGGGUGAUCCCUAGCUGAUGCGAUCCAGCCGAGAUGGCGGAUCAACCGGAUCUUUCAUUCCAUGCCUUAUCUUUCGUUUUACAGAACUUCUAGCACUCGAAGCAUUCUCCUUAUGAUGAGAGAGAUGGUCUUGUUAGAAGGCGAGUAGUCCCUCUUGGAUCUUCUUCCUGCCAUUAGCUAAGAGACAGCUGGAUCGGACCUCUAUCUCGGACUUCCUGAAUUCAUGCUGGUUACAAAGAGAAAUCCACUCGCGGAAUCAGGACCUUGGCCAAAGAUGGAGUAAUAGGUUUCCGGGUAUGUGAGAACUUGUCGUCUUUGUCAGCAGGACCGUCGUGGAGCGGGUUGGAGCCAUUGCCUAUACAACAUCAAAAAGCUUCCAUCGCCCCGGAGAGACUUAGCUUAAUCUGGACGUCUUCCCAUUUCCAUUAAUUCCUUGACUUGUAACGAUAGUUCCUUUAAGACCAGUAUAGGGCUUUCAGGCGCCUGAUCUUAAUGAUAGGUGCGGUGCCGAGUGAAAGGCAAAAGUCAAGAUUACGUGCACCCAUGUCAAAGGUAACCGAGUCAUCGGAAAGGAAAAGGGAAUAGGUGGUUUUGCGCAUCCAAGGAUAAGGGUUUUGUUGCUUAAUAGCGGAUUCGUAGGUUACUAAAAAGAAAGUGGGAUUGGAAAUGGAACUCUCGACCUGACCUGGGGCGGAUAGGAAUUUCGACUUUCAAUGGAAUCAUUGGCUGGAUCGAGAUUAGAGCCCUUUCAUGAGUUUGAGCCCAGAGAGAUACCAAACUAACUGGACCUACUCCAUACACUUUUGGAAAAGUAGGAGCUUGUUAGUUAGUAUUUAUAGUAUGCUGUGGUUAGUGACUUAAUUGUAUCAUAUGCAACCUAAGCUAACGCUGACUUUUCUGUUGUUGCACUGGGCAAUAAUAAAGUAAAGGUGCUUGGCUUUCCCUUCCUUGACCUGACCGCAGGGUUUUUACUGAAUUCUAUUAGAUGAGCGCUCUCUUCAACAAGCAAGGGAACAAGUGAGUUUGUCGGCGCAAGAACAAGUGUAUGAGUGACAGAAGCCCUUUAACGAGGUGAGUUAACCGGCGCAAGAACAAGUGUAUGAGUGACAGAAGCCUUUUCUCGAGUGCUUUUCGACCUUGUAGUUUCAGAGUAGAGUUCCAGAAGUGCUUGUGUGCCAACCGUCCUUUGAAAUGAGUAAACGUUCUUUCUUCAUUGUCAAUAGUGCCCUUUCAGAUGUGUGGUGGGAGACCCGAUCUUAGAUCCUAAAUGGAGUCUCGUUGCAGGAAUGGGAUAAAUAAAGAAAUACUAUUACUGAUUUCAAUGAGAGUGGGAAGGAAGAGAGCAAGGAAGAGGCAUUCUGUUCUAUACUUUAGAGUGAGAAUCCUGGAGAAGAAGAGAAAAUCAUAUAAUCGAUUCUAUAUCCUCCAUAAAAGAAGGAGCUGUUAGUUAACUUAUGUAUGACUGACUUUAUCCAUUUUCAUGUAAUUCUCCAAUCUAUUUCUCUUACCAGCAAGCGGGAACGAAAGAAUAAGCAAUUGGGGGGCAGUAUGGAACUUGAUUCAAUAAUAAGAUAUAAGGCCCAAUGAAACAAACUAACUAACUAUGUUUUGAUUCGGAGGAUUGGGAAGUCAAUAAGAUAAAGUAUAGUAAGGCUUAUGAAUUACAGUACUUGGUGCAGGGAUAUAAUACCCCGUAUAUCAUGAGGCAAGAGAGAUAGAACUUUCUCAUUGCCGAGAGGUUUACUUCAGACUUCGAAGCCUCUAUUUCGGGUGCUUGCUUGAAACCCGGCCCGGCCCUGACUCUUUUUGUUUCCUAUCAAGAACCACUUCCCUUAGGCAACUCCAUUUACUGACUUACUAUUUCUCUAUCUCCAUAUGCCUCUGUCUAUCUUCCGACUAUUUCUCUAUCUCCAUAUGCCUCUGUCUAUCUUCCCCUUUUCCACGGGCUGGCUAAUCGAGUGAGUGCUUUUUGUGCAGAAAGAGUUAGGUAAGAAGGAAAGUUCUCAGAUACAGCAAUGCUUCUCUCUGGGAAAAAAACACUUGAUGAGGCUUCCUUACCAGAAGAGAAAGAGAAAGGAGAUGGACUGAUUCUAUGGUAGUGUUUAUUGCUUUCAACCUCCUCAAUUUCCUUCUCUCGUAUGCCAUCUGAGGACCUUGAUCCCCACUAUAGUAGCCCGAGUAAGAAAGUCCAAAUAUUCAAAUAAUGGAAAAACGCGAAGUUGACAGUUCUCUUUUUGCUAGAUUGACCUGACUUCAUUCGUGAAAAUCCGAACCUAUUGUAUUCCUGGCUGGAUCAGACCUCUAUGGGCCGAGCUCGUUCUUUCAUUUUAGGGAUUUUCUUAAAGGAAAGAGAAUUCUCUGGAUUGGAAAGUGCCCCCAGGUACGUAGACCUCGAUCCAAGCCCUUUUGUUACGUUAAUGGGAUAUCUGCUUUGGCAUUUCCCAAGUUCCGUUCUUCUAAAGCUUUGAUUCUUGAAACCUUAUUUCUUUGAUUUCCUUUGGAGCGGUAGAGAAAAAGAAGUAGACUCUCGUUAACUAAUUCGAAAAAGCAUGCUUAGAAACGUCUCUCUUUUGGAGGGUUGGAAGAAUCUAAUAUGAACAUGGAUUUCUAGUCCUUAAGUGUUGUAUAUUUUAUGGUUCUUUUUAUAUGAAAGCGGAUUGGAGACUUGACCGCGUUAAGCUAGCCCUCCGAACCGCUCUCGCUCGAUCAUUUGAAUAGGGGAAGUCAUCAGCUAAAAAAACUCCUGCAAGCCGCCCACUAAGUAAGAGCUCUGGCAAAUCAUUGAAUAGGAGUGUUGGAAAGCACUCAACUCAAACCUGCGCAGGAACAAGUAUAGUUGAGAGAGGUCGGGCCGGGUGUUAGUGUUUAAGUAGAGUUAUUGUGCGAAGAAAAUCCAGUAUAGGGUCGAAUGGCCUGAGUGUCCCGCUGCUUAGCCUUGUGAAACUGAUUGUACUGCUGGAGCAAUUGUGAAACUGAUUGUACUGCUGGAGCAAGUAGGUUCGAUAGGUGGGGUAUAUUUCCGAGUGGAGAUAGGUUGGGGAAGAAGAAAGUGUAUAUCCUAUAGAAGCAGGACUAUAAGCAAGAUCCGAAAGAGUUCAUUCCGUUUCUGUCGAGGUCCAGUCUCAAGUCGAGUCACAGUUCAAGUCAGAGUGAAGUCGACAACUUAAGAAGCAGUUUCAAGAGACGGAUCAGGCUCAGAACGGAAAGUCGAAGGUUGAGACAGAAUCUAAUCUAAAGUAAGCUGUUAUAGCAGUUGAAACAGAGGAAGCAGUGGUCUUUACCCGCAAUUAAUAAGUUAGCAAGUCCUUUUGAUUAGGCUAAGGCGUCAGUUAAUGAUUUUCCUGGUUGGUUGACCCGGGUUGGUUGGUUUACCCGGCACUUUUCAUCGUAUUUAGAAAGAAGCUCUGCUGAGGUGCUCUAGCUCUAAGUCUACGAGAUAAGAAACAAGUUGGUAUAGAACCAGAAUAAGGAACAGUGGAAUAAGUAUCUUCAGCAAUAGAUGGGGCAAGUCUUGUUGAGGUCGAGGUGAAAGUCAGAGUAUAAAGUAGGCGGGAAGUUGUUAAUUGUUCAAGAAAACAGUAGAUGUAGGAUUCCUUAUAAGGCCUUGAUCCAGGUCUGAUAGCUAGAAGAUGGAUAACCACCGAUUUGAUAAGAAAGUAACAACACAGCGAUACUUACAUGUUGAUGGAAGAAAGUAACCGAACAGCGAUACUUACAUGUUGAACAAAUUGCUUCUCAACUCACUACUGACUUAUGGAACUUGAAUGAAUUGGGGCUGACUGACCUUUUAGGUAUCGAAUUAUUGCGCAUGUCGUUUGUUGCUAGCGUUACUAAUGAUGUUUCUAUAGCUUAUUUCCUAGUAGCUCUGUUAGCGAGUUUGGCACUGCUUACAAUUAUUCCGCUUCCUAUGUGGGUGGUUCAUUGAUGUGUUGAAGCAGCGCUAUAGGAUGCUUGAGUUUGCUAGCUAACGGGUUAACCCAAUUUCCAUGAAGGCACUUUCUUUGGUCGAGAGAGAUCAACUCUACUGUCUUUUGAUUCUCGUUAUGUAAGCCUUAACCACGCAGUCUAUAGAUAGAGUUGGGACAGGCAAUACUUAACUACACUUUCCUUUCGAACUGCAAUGGAAUCUUUGGACCACCAAUAAUAGAGUAAUUAAUAACACUGUUUCUUUUCUUAUAAGCUAGUCCUCUUAUUCUCUUGCCGACCUUACCUCUACAUGAAGUUCAUAAUUGGAUUUGAUCUCUCUUGUACAUGGUAUAGCAUUUGAGUGUAAAGAUACGGAACUUGUCCUUGUUUGUUGCGCUAACGGAGCUGACGGUUAUGCAUUAGCUUACUUUCCAGGGUGUCAAUAUUCAUGAGAUAGUUUUUGAGUGUUGUAGAGUUUCGCAGUGUGGUUAGAUAGAGCAUGAGCUGGAUCUGAAUUAGGAUAUUAAGCAUAAGAGGGAGCAGGAGUAGUGUGCGAAUCCCUUAAUGGAUAAAGUAAUGCAAUCAAACAAACAUGUGAACAAAACUCACUAGCAAACUCGGUAAUGUAAGCUUAUUCUCGGGAUGCGUUAGUGAGCUCGGGCUCGGGGCUAAUACUUAGCUUCUUUUCCGGAACUUGACUUUCCGUGGGCAGCGGAUUCUCGAGUGGACUUGAAUUGAUUUGCUGCUGACUUUAUACUCUUACUUUUCACUACUUAUGCUGACUUACUUUAUGCUGCUGAUUAAGAUUAUGCUGAUUACUCUUAUUCUCUAAUUACAAUAAUCAUAUUAUAUACGAUCGAUUGCCCUUACUUAUUAAGGCUUGCCCGAACUACACUACAUUGCCAACACAACACCGAUUUGCUUCCCGUAUCAAGCAUCUGAUAUUCUCAUUUCGGAAUGGAAUGAAAGCUUACGGAGUUUUGCUUCAUCUAGCGUUAGGCGAGUUCCAGUUAUUUGUUCGAGUCGAUACUCUUACUCUAGAUGAGGUCAAUUCGAAUCCUCGGACACUACAUCACGGGCUCUUUACAGAAAGAGUGGCCCAUAGCAAUAGCUUUUAGGGAUUCUCGAUCCUCUAAAGUCCGCCUUUUUCGAGAUGUACGGAAAAGGAUCCCCUGGCUUUCUUAAUAGCUUCUUAUUAACUUGCCCUAGUUUCAAUACUCCUUUACUAGUUUCGACUGGCUUUCCUUUCUCAAGUCCCCACGGCAAAUAAUACAACGUUAUCGAAAGCUUCAUUUUCCAGGAAAGGAUGGCUUCAUUUAGGUGUUAAUCUAACUCAGCUCAAUCUAUUCGCUCACUUAGGAAUAAAUGACUUUAACUCGAUGUAUUUCCCUUGCUUGCUUUACGAAACUAGAUUUCACGGAACUAGCAAGAGUGCGAGUAUAAGAGGCCCUUUCAAUAAACCCUUUCAGUAUUACCUACUCUCGAUAGAAACUCUUUUCUCGCCUACCCUUCGCCACGUCAACAGGAUCACUGGGUACUCCAACAAAGGCUGGCAAGCACUUUCACAAUGGAUAUGAUUAUUUUGGCACAAAGCUUAUUAGAGUAUUCUUCCAAAGCAUGUUCUAUAAAGCAUGUUCCUUCUAUAAAGCAUGGAUAGCCGGAAACUAGCAAUAUUACAAGAGAGAAAAGCCACUCUAUCUGAAUCGAAGGUGCUUGCAACUUCACUUACGAGGGACAAACAAACUUGAUGGUAUCUUGUGUCAAUGGUAGCUGGAUGGCCCAGUUAAAGCUCUCCGCAAUCAGAAUAUCCGGCAUUCUUUCUAUCAGCCUCCGAUAAUGGGCAUUGAGCUUGAGAAAAUGUGGAUAACCUGCCUAUAAAGAAAGGUGCUGCAAGCCUUAGAAACGAAAGAAAUUGAUACCAUCGAUAUAGUCUUCGAUUCAACUCGAAAGAAAGUCGAACCUAGAAAAACGAGAGAGAUAUUUGCUAAUCAGGCUCCCCUCCAGGGGUCUCGGGAUAGCAUAGCAAGUGAAAAAGCUGGGAAAAAGCCCAUUUUGGAUGAGGACGUGUGUGGUCGCUGAAAGCCACUACUAUUCCUGAAGUAACGGAGUUCUGAGAACAAGAGGGAUGUGGUGACUAGCCAAGUGGAAUAUGUCAGGCACUCUCCCAGUUAAUUGAUUAGAGCAGGUUGGAAAAGCGUUACUUAAUUGUUUGAAAACUAGAUACAUUCUAGGCUCUUACGUGAAGAUCACUUACCAGCUCUCUAUUGACUUGACUCUAAUAGCCAUAACUAUUCUAGCCUUACUGGCGGAGUUAGGUUCUCUGAUGAGUCUCCCCUUCUUCCGGUUGCUGCCGAAGUAUAUGCUCCGCUUUGGUUAAUAUCCUUGUGCUAUAGCUAUCUUUGCUUACAAUUUGACCGAUAUAAAAGGCGCUUCAUUAAUCUAUCCCUCCCUAAACUAGCUGUUUAGCAUCUUCAAGCUUGGGAAAGAGUGCUCAGAGUAUAUCGGCUAUGUGCUGCCUAUGUUGACUUGGAGGUCCUAAGCACGUAUCUAUCUCUCUUCCUCUCUUCGCUUUGGACUUAAUAGAUUGAAACCCGUUUUUGGAGUGCAAAAUGCCUUUGCUUUGUUUUACCCCUGUCUUUCUUUCUUAUUAAGAGUUUCGUUAUUUGUUUCUUCCCUAUAUAUAUAAGAGUUUCGUUAUUUCUUUCUUUCCUAUAUAUAUAAGAGUUUAUUAGUUAUUUGUUUCUUCUUUUUCUUUCUUAUAUAUAUAAGAGUUUCUUUCUUUCUGAUUUUGCACUUCACUUCUUAUUUGUGUUUGUGUUAGUUUUUCGAAAAACCUUUGCCGAGGAGCUCAUAUAGCGCCAAACAUAAGUCUAAAGGAGAUCGAUAGGGUCCACGGCUCGCUCUUUAGAGAGGAAACACUAAAUGGGAGCCGAUGGCAUUACAUUGACAUGAUUUACAAACGGAGCUGGAACUCGAGGUAGAGGAAAAGGGGGGCAAGGAGGAUGACUUUCUUAUAUAUUUUCGAAUUCGAGAUGAGGGAUGAGCGAGACGCUUGUGCCAAUAACACAUUGGAUGGGAGCCUUCUCUUCUCUGGCUAAAGGUUUUGCCGCGGGAACUCGCACAGAGGCCUUAAACUAAUCAACAUCAUCCUUAUUCGGGCCUCCAUGUAGAAAUCAACCUCGUACGCUGAUCCUUCACCCCCCAAUUCGAUGGGAAAAAGGAAAUGGAAAGUGUCUUGCAGAACAGAGAAACGGAGAAUUUCUUCUUUGUUAAUAGAUGGAACACUAAUAGAGGUUUUUUGAUCUAACAUGUGUUAUACCCAAACCGGAUCCAUCACCUAGAACGAUCUCAUCAGGCCCUUUCAUACUCAUAGUUCAGAGAGAGAUUGCUUAAGUCACUGGUAACACUCUUAGAGGCAGCCGAGUAAACAAGCCAUCCUUUCUUGAUGGGGGGAGAGGACGACGCACAGUUGGCUACAGGAUCCUUAGUUUGGUGGUGCGCGAGGACAUUUUCCGGCGGUGUGGCCGGCUCUUCCAGGUCAUUAGUUUUAGUUGUUAGUUUACACACUCUUUUUUCACCUUGGGCUUUCUGUCCAUUUCGGUUAUUGCUCUAUUUGUUUGCUUGAUUGUUAUUGCUGAGCGAGUGUAAUUGGCUGUUGCUAUGGAUACAUCACUACCAGCUUCUUUUCUUAUAAGAGACCCCUCAUAUGCCACCAGCUUCUUACCCCUCAUAUGCCACCAGCUUCUCAUGCAACUCCUCAAAGGUUAUGGGAUUUUCUCGUGCACGAACCAGCAAUCUCCUUUCACUCUGACCAUUCUUAGCAUUCAUAACGAUAUCGUCCUCAGCCAAUGGUGCAUCAAUGAUGGCUAACUCAUCUUAGAUAGUAUUUCUCUGUUGUGCAAGUCUUUUGCCACAGGUUUCGAGUCAUGGCGAGUGAGGGUGAGCCGCUCUUUCUGAUUCAUAACUCUUGAGCGAGAUCUAUUUGCAUAAAGUUUGCCAAGCUUCGUCUAGGCUUCAUGAGAUGUUUUUUCAGAUGCUAUAAGAGGCAUGCCCUAUUCUGAGACUGAUGCAAUGAUAGCAUGCAGCAACAACGGAUCCUGUCGAACCCAAUAGGUGUAGGAUUUGGUGAGACCGAGUGAUUAAAGGGCACCCAUCCUGAACAACGGUCUUUCGAAGGGCAUGGCACAGAGCCAUCAACAAAGCCCAUCAGGUCAUAACCAAGAAAAGCUGCGAGUGGAACUGAGAACGCCAUGAUGGAAAAUUCAUGGGCUUGAGUUUCGUUUCAGAGGUGACUGGGCAGCGGCAUUGAUCGAAAUAAGGGCGCUGCUCGAAGCGAGUCAAGUAUAUGUAUAGACAACCACGUGAGCGGCAGUUGAGUGUUAUUGGAUGCCAUGGGGGGUGCUUUUCUCUCUUGCUCGUUGGAGCGUGAUUGCUCCGUUACCAUGUUCUACAAUCAUGUGCUCCAAAUUCCGCUAUCAUAGGCCUAAUAUUCUAGUGUUGCAUCUAUCGCCUCUGGGCUUUCUUUUCUAUUUCUUUCACAAUGAAAACGUCGUGCAGAUGCUCAGGUGCCUACGGCUGGCUGGUCAAAUAACAGGGAAUCAGAUUAUACAAAAGAGAAACUCCAAUGCAAGAGACAGAAGAGAGAUAAUGGGUUUCUAUGAAUUGGCCUGUCCUACGAAUAGGCGCUGUCCAGAGUUCCACUUUCGGCUUGGAUGGAAUUGCUUAAGGAAAGGCUACUUAUUUCUUCCCUUCCUAUUUCAUUGGAGUGCCUACUCUUGCUCGAAAUUAUGAGAAAACUCCCACCUUGAAGAGAGCUAAAUGAAAACCAACAAUAGGACUGAAUGAAAGCGCCAUCACCCAAGGACGGAACCUUUCCUAUACCAGUACUUAAGCAAGAGACUCUUAUAAGUCCAAUACUGAUCAACGAAUAGAAUGAUUUUGCCGUAUCGGGGGAAGCGCUGAUUCAAAAGACUGAUCUUUCUGACUCAUUUUCUGACAUUGCCUUCUCUUUCUGACAUGAGACUUCUCUUUCUUUCAAAGGGUAACUAGCCUAAGAGUCACUUCCGAAGCGCAACGUAUGGGACGAAAUCCGGCAUUGCUAGCUCUGAAUGAAAUAGAUCCAAUCCACUAUGAAGGCAAUGGGUCUGGUCUGAGAAAAGAUAGGGCCACGCCCCUACUGCCUAUAGAAUGAUUGCCAUUAAACACACUAUAUAUAUGGAUAAAGGAUGGAAUGGAAUGAAAGAAACUCCUACUGCCUAUAGAAUGAUUGCAAUUUCCAUAUAUAUAUCCAUAUGGAUAAAGGAUAGAAUUGAUAGAAACCCCUACUGCCUAUAUUCAAUUGAUAUUCUACUUUGAUGGAUGGAAUUGAUAGAGAAAGAAAGCACCGUCAAGAUCUCGAACGGUUGAGGCGCUUUUUCUUAUCCAUAGAAAACAGAAAAGAACUUCCUUCGCGAGGAGCCUUUGAAUCGAUGCACCGAAGAAAGGAAAGAUCGAGAUGCCCUUUUAUCAACAUCACGGAAUCGUCGAGAAUGAUGAAUUGGCUAUUUGAAAAUAGGAAGAAAACCACAGCAUGUAAGGUUUCGGUCCAUCUUACCAUAUAAGGAAAAGCCCCAGAUACUUGAUCUGAUUCCCACUACUAUUUAUUAGCUUAAGUCACCAGACCUAUCAGACAGGGAUAAUCAUUCUGGUCCUGUCCUCUGGGGGAAUAACUUCUGAGACCUUAGAGCAAGUGUAAAGACCAAUCCAGCAGCAAAGCAAAAUAGCUGCCCCGUUGUCUUACCCGCCAAAAGGAAAAGCAGACAGACCCAUUCGAUGCAAUCCAUGGUAGUUGUGCCUUAGCGAGCUCUUUUGAAAGACAUUGUGCUUACAUAGGAGUUCCCGUCUUCCGCUUACGUAAGAAUUAUGUGAGUUCCCCUGUUUUCGCAGUGCUUGUUAAGUCUUAGAAAGAAUCUGAGGUGAAGUCGUUAACAGCAAUCGGUUCUGUUCCAGUUGCCCUUACUUAUAACGGUUGGUGACUCGAAUCCUAUAAUGAAAGACGGAAUAGAAUGAGAAACUGCUGAAGCAAGGUGUGGUCCAAGUCGAGUUGUGGUGCUAGGAAAGGAGACAUUGAAAACAGAAGAUACUGGAUCAGCACCAAACACUGUUUCAAGAGAAGAAAAGAAGCUGCGGUGUCAAAGUGAGCAACUGGCGGUUCCGUUCGAGUUUCACUUACAUUAGAUAGAAUUUGGUAACCAAGGAUAGGAUAGGACACUCUUUAGCCCGGAUCAGAAGCCUCAUCAUUGCCAGUGAUAGUUCUAGGUUAAGUUUCAUCCAUAAGAGCAUCUCUUUCAGUUCGCCUAGUUCGAGUGUAAUCCUUAUAGAAAUAAGAUCGAUCAUCUCUACCUACUGUACUGAUAAAGCUAAUGCUGAUGUUCAAUCAUACUCGUCUCUUUCUCUUGAAGAUAAGGAAUAGAUGAAGUUCUCUUGAGGAUAAGGAAUUGAGAAAGGUGUUGUAUAUAGAGAAAAGUCAUAUUAAUAAGAUAUUAGAGUUGGAUAUAGAGAAAAGUCAUAUUAAUAAGAUCUUAGAUGUGAUGCAAGAGAGUCGACGAGAUAAGUCAUUGGCUCUAAGUCUUUAACAGGAGAAGAGAUAGGUUCCGUUCGAGUUCAAGUUGCAAGAUCCGUUCUUGGCUACCAGGUUAUUUCUUGGCUUGCUCCCUUGCUUCCUGACAGCUUGAGCAACUAAGUAGGGUCUGUUUUCGGCUACCCAAUGAAAUAUAGUGCGCAGAUAGGAAUUUGACAAUGAAAUCUUGACUGAAGAAUGCAAUUGAGAGCAGAUAGUGCACCCAUACAUCCAUUAGAGUUGAGAGUGAAAGUCUUUGUUUGUUUUUGUUGGAUUCCUGGGUUAUUGGGUUAUUAUGAUCCCUCGCCCCAAAGGAAAGUCUUGCUUUUGGCAGUUCUAUUCUGAUUAUUGACUACUCUUUUUCUUAUGGCUCAUAUAAAAAGACAGGCUUUCAGCACCCGAAUCCUUUGUUCGUCCGCCUGUUUUCGUUCCUGUGUUUGUGUUGCGCGGCAGGAGCCCCGGGGUCGCAAAGGAAGCUUGAAUAUAGAAACUCAAGAAAGGCCCGGGAAAGAGCAUCACUACUAUAUGGAAUUAUAAGAACUGGUGCUCUAGUGAAUCAGUAUUUUCGUUCUUGGAAUCCGUUUUGUGAUUAAUCGACCGUUAGAGGUUCAAAGUAUGACUUAAAGACUCUCAAUCAAUUAGUUAUUUUCAUUAAGGGUUGAUUCAAUGACUCAAUUUCUCCUUGAUAAGGAAUUUGUGCAUCAGGUGCAACGACUUCUGGUGUAGCUUGGCUAGCCCCAGAGGCAUUUGCACAUUCAUUUUCCCACCAGAGUUUGAGGAAAGACACUGGAAUUGCCCGAUGUGCCCGCGCACUUCUUUACUUGAUUCAGAAGCACUUGAUUGAGACCACGGGUUACGUCUAGAAAGAUAUGGGAUAUGGGGAUAAAGGGCAGCCGGAGCCUUUGUUAGCGUUAACAGUACAGCUAGCUUCACUUUCAAUGGGUUUGCUUUCGUUUUUCAUCCGGGGCUGUGCCCUGAAAGAGACUACAAGAAUACGAGGUAGUGUUGAGACCGAAGAAUCCAUUCCAUAGUGACCUUGCUUGUCAAAAGGCAGAAAUACUCGCAUCUCUAUCACCGAAUCCGGAUUCUGGUUCUUUCUUUGAUAAGAAUCGAUCCUCCGUUUGCCUUGGCUGGAAGAAGAAGAUUUAGCAGGUAGUAAGGGAUGACAGCUGCCCCCAAGGUUGAAUGAAGAUCUGAUCUCCUUUCUUUCUGAGGAUCAACUAGUAGUUCCCGAUAAAGGAAAAUGACACUGAUUUCGGGUUUCUCUAUUUUCUUUCAUUUUCUUAGAAAAGGUGUGUUUGUGAGGCAGAAAAGAAAAGUAAACCUACCUAUAAAUAAGGCUUUCCAGCCCCAGCCAGUAUAACUAGAAAAGCUAUAAAAGUCCAGCUGUAUAACUAGAAAAGCUAUCGAAGUCCACAUACCAAAUAUGGAACAUGCAUUUCCGAAACUUCCAACUAUAACUAUAAUUCAAGCAUAAAGCUUAUGGCCAUGGGAUAAGUUCCUUUCGAAGGAAGACCUUUUACUUGCGAUUGAAUGAGUUGGUUUGCUAACAGGGGAGAAUUCUAGGCAAGGCAGGACUACUUUCUACUACAUUUUCAAUCAGAAGAGACGGAUUUCCAUUUUAAGGACAAGGAGACAAUUUAGUAGACCGCGGAUGUCAGCACCUUAUUGUUGGGUAGGGCCCGAGGAAAGAAGGAAAAGCUCAAGUGGUUGUCUUCCCGACACAGGGAGCGGAGAGCCUAUUCGUAGACCUUCGGAUAAGACAUAGAUAGGCGGACUUCCCUUAGUCUAUCAAGGAAGAAAAGAAGGAGUGAGUUUAGUACCAAAAGCCAGAGGUGUUACCGACACAGGGAGUGGAUAGCCUAUUUGGAGGCCGGCAGGGAAGAAAUAGCUGACUUAAGCUACUACAGCAAGGAAAGGAAAAAGCCCGAAGUGCGGCACUAACAAAAGUCCAAAGCUCAGUAAGCACUUAUACUUUCUACCCCAUACAUUAGCACUUAUACACUGUCAACAACAGUUGGGCCUGUACAAAUUCUUGUCUUGCAACUACAGUUGGGGCUGUACUCAGUAAACCUUUAAUGGAAUCCAUCUUAUAAAUACACUAAAUAUAUCAUCUGUUGCAUUAAGAAUUGGUUCUAUCUCUACUAUAGCAUUAAUCAUUUAUGCUGCAAUCUCUACCCUAGCUUGUAUACUCGAAACCUAAACCUCUGCUGCUUGUUUACUCUAAACCUCUGCUUUGUCAAGCAUCUGAACUAUCAUACAGGGCUAAGCUGUUUCUCUUUGAUGAGAGGUAAAGGGUCUCGUGCUCGUCCUCGCUGUCAGUCGGUAGGGUAGCGAGUAGGUUAUGGUCUACCAGUUGGAGGGUCCGAGUCAAGUAGGUGUCUGAGGGAAAGGCGAAGUCCAUAAAAGAACUAUAUGGGGAUGCCUAUCUCUUCUAUUACAUAGUUGGAUUGAUUCAUGUCCCUCAGUGGAGUUCCGUUAUUGAAGGCAGUGAGAGCCCAGUAGGAGAGGCGUUCCAGAGUAGUGGUCCAAGCAUUAAGGUUCAGCGGCUAUUACUCAGGGUAGUGAAGGAACUCCUAUAUGUCACUAUUGCUUAAGUCAGGGUUAAGGUCCAGAAACAUACUUGCUUGUAUAUGAAGGUACCCAUAGCUAUUGGUAUAUGUUGGUGCUAAUAUUCAAUCAAUACAAUAGUAGUAUUUUAAGUCCUCUCGUGGCUUUCCUAUGGAAGCAGGUGCCUAUCUUAUCAUAAUGGGUACAGUAGAGCUGCCAACCACGCCUUUACCGAGUCCACUGGGUCUUGCGCCGCUCCUACCCCUUCUUUCCUUGAUAAGUAUCAUCCUUCUCCCCUUUACUGAACCCAGCUUUUACACCCAACACAGAAAGAGAAGAGCACACGACAGAAAGCCAUUUCGUUCUCAUCCGUCCGCGAGCCUAGGCACGAAACACAAGUCUGUUCACCACUGCUAAAAAGAACGCUAGUGACCCGUAAUCCGACUCUAACUGGUGCUUGCCCACUACACAGACAGGAAGGAAAGAAGCAUAAUGUAGUAUAGAAUGCAGCCUAUCUAAUCUAAUGUAGUGUCAGUUCAACAAGGUAAAGGAAUGACCUAUUGUACUAAGUGUAAUAGUAUAUGGAAGCUAAGAUUUCUAAGUAUAUUAGUUCCAAUCUUACUAACGCUUUAUUCAGGACUCUCGCUUAAUUCAGUAAUGGCUUAAAGUCAAUAGUGAGGUUACUUAUUAUGUUAUAAGAUCAUAUCUCUCUCAGAUUUCUAAGUCUUACAUACAAGUAUCAUAGUAUCAUAGUAUAAAUUAGGUGCCAACUUCACUAUAUAAUAUUCCAGGGUGGAGUCCUGAGUUGCUUGUUCAGUUCAGUCUAAAGGAACAGUAUCAAAGGAGAAAUACCAUCUAGUAGCUCUGCCAGCAUGGGGGUAGUUCAGUCUAAAGUAAGGGUAGCAAGUGUCAUUGUCGCGAUAGGUUAUUGGCCAAAGGCAGGAAAGGAAGCAGUUAGAGCAGAGACAGCAGUAAUGGAUGAGCUUUGGAGUUUCGGGGAACAAGUUAGAGCAGAUCCAGUAGUCAAUAGAUGAGCUUUGGAGUUUCGCAGUUAGAGCUGAGUUAAGGGAGUAAACAGUCAGGUUAAUCAAUUACGGAAGUAGUAUGCACUCAACAAGCUAUGUUACCAAGUACUAGCUACGUUCUUUUAGUUGCGCAAACAGGUGAGCUUUGGAGGAAAGUAAGCUCGAGAAUCAUCUGUGUCAGCAGCAAGCGGGAAAUCAAGUGUAGAGUAUGGUUGACGGUUGCCCGUAAAGUAGACAUCGACAACAGAAUCCGCUGUUACAAUAAAAUCAGCAGCAGUGAGAGUUUCUAAAUUGACAGUGCCAGCAACCAACAGCAAAUAUAUUACUUGCUACCACUUGUGGCUUUGCUUGUUCCGGUGAUUUCAUCAUUUUCCCCUAGCAGUGGAUUCCCCCACUUUUCGCAAGAGUCCCGAGUGUGCGCAAGCCCUUAAUGCGAGUUCCAGUUCCGUUUGAGUGUCAUCAUAUAUAGAAGCGUAGGUCAAGUCAAGUAUAUAUAUAAGCUAAGCUGUCUUCGGAUUCUUAAGCAAGCAGUACAGUCAUUGUAUCAAGAAGCCCACGUAGCGGUUAAGCAGUUCAGUCAAGAAGUCGAAGGGCCGCCCAACGUCUGACUUAGUUGCUUGGCCCCUUAUGCUUACUACCAUUCCGAGUCUAUUUACUAUAUGUGCUUAGUCUAUUCCUUUAUUGGAUACACUAUGCUAUACCUCUCUUAUAAUGAGGAGCCGGGACAUGGGAUACUAACAACAGUAGAAGACCUCACACUCAAACACAAACAUAUGAAUUGAAGGCGGUAAACUAACCAAGUUAGAGCUAGGAGAGGAAGAGUCAAAGGUAGAAUACAAGCAACAGAGGGGUGAUUGAAGAAUUCGCUAUAGUAGUUUCAGAGUGUGAAUUGGUAGGUUCAAUCUAAUGGGGCAGUGUCCAAUUCUUUAAGAUACCCGUGAGUAUGUAAGUGGAGAGUCUAAGCCGGUUAUAUGGGUUGUGGGUAGGCCCCUUCCCUUCCUUUUGUGCAGUCUCUGAUCUCUAGGGCUACUCUUUAUUAGAUUGCUUCAGCUGAAGAACCCAGACUGGCAUGAUUGGAUUGAAGCGGUUUACUGACAAGACGUUCACGGAAAAACAGACAGACGAUACAUUCCUUUGUAUUGAGAGUGAAGAUGUACAGAGUAAGCGCGCUAAUCGUUUUUCACGACAGGAGCGCUGAAAGGUGUUGAAAGAAAAGAGCCUUUACUUGAAUAUAGGUGAAUAGAAUAUAGGAAUGAUUCGGAUAGAAUAUGGGAAUGAUUCAGAAGAUAGUUCAUUAUUGAGAGAAAAGAAUGGCUUUUGAGUAAAGCAUAGGAUGCAUAGAAUAUCUGUCUGAGUUCAAACACAAGGCUAUGUGAAAGAUCCGGUCUGAAAACGGAAAACACUAACCCAUUCAAGGCAUUGGAGAUAAGUACGCAUGGUGGCCAAACCUGUGAAAUCGGGACAGGCAAGUCAGUGUACCGAAUAGACUGCCUUCCUAAAUAGAGAGUUUCAUUCAUACUCUCCGUAAAUGAGCUAUCUGUCCUUCCAUUCUUUGGAAGGUGCAUUUAAUCUCCUGUCGUAAGCGCUAAGAAAGAGGCAGGAGAUCAAUGAAAUAUGAGUCAUCUUGUAUAUAUCAUAUCAUACCAACCCUAGGCAAAAAGAGACUCGGUUCACUAUUCGCCAUCGCAUAAAAAGCAGCUCUUUCCUUCUAUAUAAGCGGAGUUCAAAAGUUUCAAUAAGUAUAAAGUUAAGAGAAACUAGCAUAGCAUCUUUCGUGAAGAUCCACUACCAUCUUUCCUUUUAUUUCCUCCGCACCAUCUCUAAGUUCACAUUUCUUUUGACUCCCAUUAGAGACAAAUACAAAACAAACACAAAAGGGUAUAUUCUUUAAAUGGCUUUUUUUGCCCAGAUAGAAUAGGCGUGUUCAUACAGUUGUAUAUUCAACCAAAGAAUAAUAAGCUAUCACUGAAGAAUUGGACUUACUAAGUGUCGACUUACUCGAGUUUCUUAUGAACUGGGCUUGGAGCCGCUGCUAGAUAUGCGCUUAAAACCCCAAUACAUAAUGGGUCUUUUCUACUUUACUACAGGGGAAGAGCUGGAAAGAGGGACAGUAGCUUGGGACAGGUGAAACAAGAAAGCCAUCCGUUAUGUUCCCGUGGUUGAGUCACUCACGAAUGUUUCGUCCCAAUCCAUAUUGCUUUGGUGGGGAACGAGUAGUCCACAUCUCUGAUGAUCCACAUAGUCUGCUUGCUUUUUAUGUCCUUCAAGAUUGUCGGUGGGUGCAGAAUAUGGCUCUUUCCAAAUAGAUGAGGGACGGCGUUUUUGAUACCUAAGUCAGAGGAAGCUAUCAGACGCAUUGGCUGGCUUAAGAAGAUCAGAUCUAUCACGAAUAGGUUUCACAGCAGCUGCAGUCACAACAGAGGAGCUCGUUAUGAAGUAAAGUACCUGCAUUCCACAUUGGAAAUGAUACAUAGAAGUGGAAUUGCGGUCGUAACAUUCUAAUGCCUUAAUUGGGAAUACGGGAGAUCCUUGGUUAAGAUCUGGCUCGGAUGCUACAGGUAGCUAAGCUAAGCAUUUGGAUCUGCUACUCGGAUUGCAAAUGGUUCCAAAUACUGGCUGAAACGGAAUACAAAAACCAAUUGGUGGAACUACAAAUGAUGAGUAAACUCGGUAAAGUACUGCUUGCUACUUUUAUUAGGCGCUGAGCUAUGCAUGGACGCCUAUCGAGCUUCGUUUGACCUGACCCGACCCUACUCAUAUCCGAAUAUAUUACUAAUAUCCUAAUAUAUAAUAAAUAUGAAUUUGAUAAUAUAUCUUUGCCUUUAUGAAAUGGAUAAUGUAUCUUAGCCUUUGUUUGUAUAGUAUACGGGUGAAUGGUUUUAUGGAGAUACUCAGGGUCAAACCUUUAUUAAAGAAAUACUAUUUCACAUCUUUCGUGAGAGAGGGAUCGGAUCUAAGAAUCACAGUCAAUGCACUCUAUCAAAACGGAUCCUUUUUCUCCUAACAUCAACUUUACCGCCUCUUCGAAACUACAGGGAUGCUGGCUAGGACUGGUUCAAUUGGUGCUCUGGCUGGGUCAACUACUGAGCUGAAUCAACAACUUACAGUAGCUUAGAUGCAGCUGUAUCCGCAUUUCCACUUACUGGGUCGGAUAUGAUUCAAAUGCUUAAGCCUCUUACGCUGAUCCACUGGAUGCUGCUUCAACGCCCUUUGCCACUUUCGAAGAACUACCGUUCGGACUUGUUUCUUGCUAUGACGGCAGGUACGGAAUCCUUAUUCUAGGCUCAAGCGGAAGAUAUAUCAGAACCGGGUAAAGAAGAUCUAAUUGAUUCAUAAGAAUGAGCGGAUUAAGCAGUUACAAUGGAAUAAGCAAGUGCCCGUAUCUGAUCCUGCUUGAACUUCAUCUUUCUUUCGCCUCGCGGUCAACUAAUCAUUAAUUCCAUCUUUCGAGCUUAAGGAAAACAGUAAAGUCAACUAAUUCCAAUAAUUCAUUGAACUCGCCUAUAUCAAAGGAAUGCAAUCUAAAGGGCUUUGAAGCCGGAGUUUGCUUGCAGCUAACCUAACUGCUUCCAUCUUUUCUUUAUCUUCGAGCCUAUCUUUUGAGACUAUACUAUAAGCAAAGCAGGGUACCCGAGAAAGUGUUUGGAUUCCAGUUCAUGCACUGGAGCCUUUCUUUACCAACUAUUAGAAAGAAUCCCCUCCUCAGUAGCUAAGUGGUAUACGGUGGUAUAGCAGUUAUCAUAUUGAGUGUUCCAUAUGGGUUCGUCUACUUGACUUUGGUGGUGCUAUGCUAUAUUCUAUUUAGCUUCGUAUAGGUCUAGCUCAGUAGUGAAGACCACGUAUUACUCUUUUUUAGAAAACGCAACUUACCUAUAAUGAGAAUGGGUGAAGUUCAUAUUGACUUGGAUAUUCACUGUUGGUACUCGUACUAUCACCUCUGUAUCUGCUGGAUAUAGAUAUGGCUCUAAGUAACUGUCACUUAGUCAACAGGUUCUUCGUUCAAAAACCGGAUAAAAGACUCGCUCAGUUAAUGCUAUUGGUCAAAAUGUAACUACCACGGGUUCUUUGACUGGAUCAAGGUAUGUAUAUGCUUAUGGCUCUGCUCUUGCAACCCUAGCUUAUGGUGCUGGUCCUACAACAGGGUAUUAUGCAACUGAUGCUUUUUAUGUAUUAGCUACUUAUGCUCCUCUAGUGGUGUUGAUACUCGGUAGAGACAAAUCCAACCCGAAGAGCACCACGCUUGUUCACGAACGAAGUGGUAGUCAAUUUCUAUAUGUUUGGUACGGGCAUUCAAUAUUGGAUGGACGGCUUCUCAUGCAUACAGUUUUUUCCCGACGCCCUACUAUAGGGUAUUACGGGCGCACCGAUACGUCCGGCUCAUCCACAGCUCUAUCUUCCGAGCCCCCCUAUGUUGUAAGUGAUUGGGUUAGGGGGUGAAUACAAGCUAGCAGGCAAUAAAGCUAGUGAAUCAGAAUUCUAGUCAAGAUUGACUUGUCGUGGUUUACAGUGGCUCGCUUGGUGAUGGAGGCCCCGGCAUUCUUUAGACCAAACUGAAUCACCUUGUUACCCCUUUCUUAUAUAGUGCGCCGUUUUCUCUCUGUCUCGAAGGUAGGUUAAGUCAAGUGUCAAGUCAGGGCUUAGGUUCCAAAUGGGGGCUGGGCUGGAGCAGCAACUCUCGCAUCAGCUGUAGCGGCGCAUUGUAAAGGUGCUUAGUUCGUCGAGCAAUUUCAGGCUAUCUGAGCGGGCAGAGGGAAAGCAAGAUGAUCGACCGGCUACAGGAAUUGCAGAGGCUCUCGAACUUUAUGUGCUCACUACUCGUUGCAUAUCCUGCUCCUCUUAUAAUAGCAGUAGCUCUCCUUUAGUAGCUAGUGGCUCUUCAUAAGGUGGAGCUCAGUGGAAUAUGCCGCCAACAGCAGCAUCGGUCGAUAGGCAGGCGAUAGUUGCUUCGGUCAUCUUCCCUGUGUCAGUCUAGUCCUUUGUGCCAUAAGAGUGCCUGCAAGGUCAUUCUAUGAGGGCUGCCUUACUAGCGUUCCUUCCUAUAAGGCUAGACAGACGAUUCCACAUGUUCGUCCGUUACUAACCGGCAUUUCUUCCAGAAUUAAGAGAGAGUAGAGCUAUUGAAACAGAAAGCCUAUGAGGCUCGGUACGCUAUACACAUCCUGUUGCCAGCAUCAAAGACCCUUCUUUCCUUGUGCUCCGGCCAAGUCUUCCCGCUCGCCCAGAGAAUUCUUCCUUUUAGAUACUCACUAACGCCCUCCUUAAGGGUCUUGCUCUUGAUCCUAUAACUCUUCAAUCCUAUGAUUGGGGUCUUUGUCUUUGGGCUCUAUCUUCUUUCUUAUUGAAUCUAUAGAACUAGCUCGAGCAAGCUUAAGAAAAAAGGGGGAAUUUCUGGUACUAAAGGAGAAGGGUUCGUGCCUUUCCCCGAUGAAAAAAGAAGGAAUCUCAUCUUUGUUCUAUGUUUGGGAGUAAGCCAGUCAAUGUGCCCGCUGUUGUGUAUGAGCAAGCGAUCUGAUCCUAUGCGCCUUUCUCCUUUUAGUGAAACCAACCGUCCCUUAGCUCGUGUUAUCAGAGUCACUUCAUCCAGUUUUCAAUAAGGAUGAGAGGGCUUUGAAUGAGAGAAAUCAUAGUUCGGGUGUGGUGAAGUCUUGGAUUGGAAGUCAACUAGCUCGACUGGAAGUAAACUAGCUCGACCAGUUGCUUAUAAAGAUUUUCCAGAAGAAGGAAGAAUUGCUGAGAAGGCUAAUCAUAUAGUGCAUUGGUGGAAAUAUGUACUCUCCCCACGAAGGGUUGGAUCCUUCCGCUGUAUAAUCUCGCUUGACUACUGGUAUGUAUGUCCGAAGUCCCCUUCUAAGCUAAGCCAAGCUCUCUGUUCUCUUCCAUUUGCAAGCUCUUUGAUAUCCGGUAGUUUCCCUUUGAAAAAAACACCUAGACUCCACUUCGGUAUCAUUUUGGAUUGAGUUAGCUAGGGCUCCUUUGAUCGUGCAUCUUCCUUACUGCCUUAACAUACAGCCUUCUUAGGAUUCUACAUGACAUGAUGUAAAAGACUAAACCUCCCCUCCUUCUUAAAGACUGUCCUACCCGAGGCUAGCGAACCCACCACCCAAACUCAUUAGCAUUCCUGCCUACCGCUAUACGUGGGCGCUGGAAGCUAUUGAAAUCGGACAAUUCGGAUUGUUACUGAGACGCGUAACACAGGCUAAUCGAUGAAAUGAUAGAGUGAUAAAGGGGCUAAGGCUCACUACGAAAUUGAUUGAAAUGGUGGAGAGAAUCGGGAUGAAAGGUAUGGAUCAGAUCGAGCCCGAGAUGCGGAUCAUGAGCAGAGCAAACCAAGAUAUUCAAUGGAUAUGCAAUGAGGGAGCGCUAGCCCCAAGGGUCAGAGAAAGUAUAGCUACCCGAGCUGUCAUGAGUUCAGUUCAUAAACUCAAAGGAGUUGAUCUUAGCCCUUAAGAGGGGGCCGAGGCUGGUAAUAAAGGUAUGAAAGCCAAACCACUUUCCAUUAAGGGAAAACGGAGGCAGCUUCUUCGUGCUAUGCUAUAAGUGGGCGCCCCUAGACCAUAGAAAGAAUAGAGCCAACGGUGCAGCUUCGGACUAGGUAGGGUGUCGAACCUCAUGUUUUCGAUCUCAGCCCCAGCCCCACUUCUGUUAUGCCAACUACCAGUAUUAGAUAGUGCCCCCAAAAAGGAAGCUUUAGUUCCACUUCUAUUGAUGCAAUAUACCCUUCCAGCGAGUUUUCCUAUCCCCGAGUCUAAGGGGUAGCUUUAUAUACUAGAAUACUGGUGCCCUUAAGUAAUUGCAUCCGAACAUUUUCUACAUCAACCAGGGACGAAUGGGGGUCGCUUCCUCUCUGCUAUGCUAGGAAUAGGAAUACUUGAAUGAAAAGAAUUAGAAACCCUUGCCUUACUUCCGAAUCCAUGCGGCUUUUCUUAGGUCCGUUUUUGUUACCCUUUUACUUAGAGUUAGAGUUAAUGUCUCUAUCGAAGUUCUAAGAUUACCACUUUCUGCAUUUUAUUCCCGGCCUGGAUAAAGUAAAGACUUUGGGCACGUCCCUCUAUAUUCGUUUUCUGGGAAUGCCUCUACCCACUUGAACUCUCUGGGUGCAUCGAGACAAAGUAUCAAGUGUCUUUGUGAUUCAAUUCUAUAAGUGAGUAAGCAUAGCAUCCUCCAGUUCUCUCGUCUUUCUCUUUCUUCUUUGAAAAUGAUGUUAGGUUCCGAUCCGUAGGUUUUAGUGAAAGGGAUGCUCUAUCUGCUUUCCCUUCUUUCUUCUAAUUAUUUCUACGAGUCUAAAGGGAGUUAUAUUCUUUUCUCGGGGCUUGUUUAUUUGAAUAUAAGUCACUUUGAAGAUCUAAUUAGAAUUAUGCAUUCGAGGUGCUAAGUAAAGAAUCAGAAUUUCUAUCGUAUGGGAAAGUCAAAAGUCCGGCCGAUAAAAAGAAGUCGAAAUAUAACGCCAAUCCCCGCGGUGAUCUUCGCUUAAGAAAAACUCACGAGCUGGGCUUUUCCACGGACAAAGAAUGGAGUCCAACAGCUCUUUGUAAGGCGGAAGAAACAUAUAAUAUAUAAGAAGCGCUGUCUCCGAUGGCAUCAGCAUGCGUCUAGUACAUAUUUCUUUCUCUUGUCUUCGUAAGUCAAGGGUGUUUAGUUUCUUUUCGUUUUCAGUCCUCUUACUCGUUUGAUGUGUCUUCAUGUAUGGGUUGAAAGUUGGCAAAACACUUGUGGACCUCACGUUUAAGUCAGUCUAGUUACAUGAAUGUAAACUACUGUACUGCCCCCAUCUGAGAUAAUGAAUUCAGAUAUAAUUGAGGUCCAGCUCCUAUUUUGGCAAACUAAAGGGUUUGUGUUGAUCCUCAAUCUCGUCCCCUUCUGGUCUCUCUCUAGACAUGUGUUCUUUCGUCGAAAGCAUUAUGUUUCUUUUAGCCUUCAUCUUCCUCUGCCGUUGCUUAUGUAGGGUCCCGACCUCCUUCUUCUAUUCGACUUGUGCCCUUCCGGAGACUUCAUCUUUGCCAUCUGCUGAUGACUCUCACCCUCGUCGACGUGUCUUGUGUCCAUCCCUAUUACUUAUGUUGUACACUCUCGCUGGGCUAUCGGUUACAUUACUUGAGAUUGAUAGGUAUUAACAGCACUUUAGAGGGUAUUGAUAGGCAUUCACAUGACUUUCUAGGGUAUUGAUAGGCAUUCAGAGCAGCUUGCAGCCUCGCCAGAUCUUACAUCUCUGGUUGUCGAUCCUACACCACAGGUUCGUAGGUCUUAUCGCAUUUUCACGAAGCCUAUUUGUUUCGUUGAAUCUCACUUGUUCACUCCUCGUUAUCAUGCCUUUUUAGCUGCUCUUCACUCUUUCCAUGAGCCUCAGUAAACUAGGGAGGCAGGCAGCCGAGCCGCUAUUCAAUGUUGGCAACAGGCAAUCAAUAUCUUAAGAACGGACUGCCCUUCAGCAGAAUGCCAUUUUGGAUCUUUUUCUUCUUCCGUCUGGUAAGGUUGCUAUUGGUUUCCGUUUCCGUCUGGUAAGGUUGCUAUUGGUUUCCGUUAGGUUUCUAAAGUGAAGACGUGAUCUGAUGGGUCUGUUGAGAGAGACAAAGCUAGGCUGGUAGCCAGAGCGGAACCCGCAUAGACAUUAAGGAGACUUUUGCGCCUGUGGCUAAGAUGACUAGUAGUUUGACCAUUAUUGCCAUUGCAGCGGUUGGCCACUCUAUAAGUUAUACGUUCCUUAUAUGCCUUAUACCAUGGUUAUCUUCAUCUGGAGGUGUACAUGCUGCCUAGCCUACCCCUUGAAAAGAUUCCGCUCCUUCUACUAAUGUAUGCCCCUUAAGCAAAGCCUUCUAUGGUAGCCUAUUGCGUUGGUUUUUCAAGUUUAGCACAGUGCCAUUGCUCGGGGAGUUUUCAUGAUUCGGCCAUGUUCUUUUCUUUUUCUCCUCGAAAACGUGCUAUUCUGUUGUUCUAUGUUCAGGAUAUUCAACUUACUGGUAAUUACUCCGUUAACAUAUCACUGAUCAUGUGUCGCCUUCAUCAAUGAACCUCUUCAUCGCCCUUUAUCUAUACUUCACUCUAAAAAGAACCUGCUCCAUAGAAUGGAAUUGAAAUGAAAAAGGUAGUAAGCGGCUCUGCCGCGCAACUUGUCUAGUUGCUUGGCGAUUAUGAAUCGCUUAUUACUUGUUUGUUUACUUGUUUCAUUGAGUGCAAAAGAAAAAGCACAUUACUGGAAAUAGAGUAUUGUUGAAUAUGACGUUAACCCAUAAUGUAAUAAAGUAACUCACUACCUAUGACUCUCGGGGAUUCACUCACUACCUAUGACUCUCGGGGAGAAACGAAACACUCUGUUACUCCUGACUUGAAGAAUUAAGCUAGGCACCCGGAAACAACAACUAAAUCCAAGAAUGGAAUAGAGCCAUACUCGCACUGCUAAUCCCUUGAAAUAGAGUAAUAACACCUUGAGACUUGAAAGCUGGGGCACUGCUAACCCCUUGAAUAGCGUAAUAACACCUUUACCUUGAGACUUGAAAGCUGGCACUGCUNNNNNNNNNNNNNNNNNNNNNNNNNNNNNNNNNNNNNNNNNNNNNNNNNNNNNNNNNNNNNNNNNNNNNNNNNNNNNNNNNNNNNNNNNNNNNNNNNNNNNNNNNNNNNNNNNNNNNNNNNNNNGUUGUUUGCUUGUUCCGUAGGCACCGGCUUGUUAUCGAAACUCACUUCUGGCUUUACCCAACGAAACUGCUUGUUGAAACAGAACUGCUUACUGCUAUUACCCCACCUAGCGGCGAUAGGAUUGAGCUCUUGGUAUAUAUGCAUUUAAUAAAUAAAGAGUUUCAAGAUUGAUAUUCAUAAUAAGGAGUGAUAGGAUUGAGCUCUUGGUAUAUAUGCACUUCUAAAGAAUAAAGAGUGAUAGGGAUGCUAUAUCAAAGAGUAAUGAAUUUAGGGAUGCUAUAUCAAAGAGUAAUGAAUUCAAUAAGCCCGCGGUUUAGUAAUAAGCUAACGCACCCAAACAAAUAAGCUUGUAACGUCUUGCAUAACUCACUAACGCUUACUGCUCUUCGGGCUCUAAAUAGACUAUUUCCGUUUAGAUUUCUUAUGAUAUCCCUAGCAGCUUUGCUUCCUUGUUUAACAAAGGCUUGUUCCGGCCCGGCGAACUGAACUCGUUUGUUGAUUAUGAAUUGAGUGUACCUAGGAAAUACGCACAGUAACACACAUUCGAAACUCCUAAACGGAAUGAUUGCCCUAGUAUACCAUAGUACUUAUCUUAGCACCGUUGCUUGUUGAAUGGAGUGCACCUACUCAGAGGUCUAUGUUAUGUUCUAAUUUCGUUUUACCUAGGAAGAGGUCUAUGUUAUGUUAUGUUAUUAGGCUUCAAUGCUUGUGGGGUCCGGGUCAAAGUGGGUGUUUUUAUGGAAAGGUUUUUCACAGGCUAUAAACAACGCAAAAAGAGCUUAUUUAUACAGCCUUAACCAAUACCGAGUUUCUUGUUGAAGAUAGUGCACACAACUUAUGUAAGACAGCAACCUCACUGCUUACUCCUGGCGUUGUUACCUUACAUUAAUCAAAUCAUCGUUUACAGCCGAACCCUAUACUAAGCACUUGCAGGCCCUAUACACAGAAGCACCGUUACUCUACUUAACUACUAAACAAACAGGCUCUUAGCACCUUGCUUUCAAUCUACCUUCAAGCUUGUUCCCGCAGCUUACUCACUUGCUUGUGUAAUUUAUUAACAAAACAAAACACUGGCCAAGAAACUAGAUGAGAGAGAAUCCAUUCUUUUAGGAGAGUCUGGAGCGAGUGGUUCAAUUCCUUAUUCUUGUUCAAUGUCUUUACGAUGAGAUUCCAAAAUGUCUGUGUUUGUUGGCGGUGAAGAAAGUCUUUAUUGUGUUCAGGGACAGAAGAAAGUACUAGUGCGCGAGCUAUGUUAGGUGACUUUCCAACUUGAACAGAACUACUUGCGGAGGCAGACGUUGGGAUUGGCGCUAGGAAAAAGAAUGGAAAGGAUGCUUUCGUGCUAGAAGGAGAGGAUAGGAAAGGAAAGGAAGGGCGCUAAGAAAGUCAGUACUCUUGUAGAUGCCGAUCAAUCUUAUUAUGCCAUGCCGGAAAGAGAGAAAGAAGCUUUGGGUUGGGGCGCGCUGGGCAAGCAAUACCUUUCUAUGGGUUAGGUGCGCGAGCAGUGUUUUCUUUUUCUGACUUUCCUUCCACCCCCCACCAAAACGGAAGUCUACAGUCUCGUAUCUCGCUGUUCCCCUACUAUAGGGCUCGAAGUCAAGUUCAAGUCUUCGGGAACGAGUAAGAGUGGUUUAAGUUCCAGUCUUAUAGUUAACAGUAGUUGCUCGUCUUUUGGUCCUGUGUUCAGCUACCUAAUUUAUAAUCUAUCGCGGUCAACUCCGUAAGCAGUGAAGUCUUUUCAUUUACUUUAGCUUGUUAACUUGUUCUCGCCUUAGUUAGUCUUCAGACGCCUUGUAAACCAGUCAAAUCCUACAUGGAACUUCAAGCUCCCUAAUAAGCGCCUUGUAAACUAGGUGUAAUAAAUCAAUAAUGGAAUGUUUACACCAUAGAAUCUCUUUUCUCUACUGGCCACGUAGCAGUAAUCAGAAUCAAAGGCUCAAAAAGAUGCAGUAUCCAGAGAAUCCGCAGUGCAAUGAGAGUAGAGUGAGGAAGGUUAACAAACAAGCUUAUGCGCUAACAGGAAUGUCACGGGAGUUUCAAUUGUCAUCUUAUAUGCUUGACGGAACCAGCAUUUGUCCUGCCUGAAGUACAUACAAGUUCCGUUCGCCCAGUUCGUUCGACUCUCAGGUCUAUGUUUAGGGAGUUAGUACGUUGCUUUUUGAGUGUAGUUACUGAAUCUCAUUCUUAUUGAAUAACUCCAUUUGGAAAGAAGAUUAUGACAGUACUGUACACAUUAUGUAUCAAAGUAACAACACUCCGAAAUGAAAGAUUCCACACAAGGGAUUCAACAGCAACUGUUCCUGCUCCCACUCCAGAGAAAGCUUCCGCGCUAAGAUCUCCUGGUCGACUCGGUGCUAACAGAGUUUCUGCUUAGGGAGCUCAAUCCCCUUUUGUUGAAUUCAAUGAUGACUUUCGAGGUUAGGAGUAUAUAGAAGAAACAGUCUCUGGGGUGAGUCACAAAUCUCUUACUCAGUUUCCAGAUCAGAAUAAGGAUCAUCUGGGCAGCAAUCUUUUCUUCAAGUCUAGUUUGAGCAAAGGUCUGUGAUGGAGGUGAGAGUGCUUGUGUCUAAGGCGGUUCUUGACCUUGCUUGUAUAUGAGAAUGUCCCGUUCCAGUUUCAUCUAUAAGAGGAUUUCCUCUGUUCCGUUAGCGCAACAUUAUACCAUUAUACUACUAAGUAAGCUUGUUCGGUAAGAAAGCGUAGAGAGAAGCUCGUUGAGCGUAGAAAUCGGUAAUCAUAGAAAAGAGAGGUUAAGCUGUGAAAAAGUAAGCUUAUGAAUUGCUAGUUCCAGUUCUUGUUUCAGAAUCAGAAUAAGUUCGAUAAGAUGCUACAUCAGGGAGAGGGUUAAUAAUAAGUACUGGCGAGGAAGAAGUUGAAACAGAAUCCACAGUGCUAAAGUAGAGUGAAAGGUAAACAAGCUAUGUAUUUACAAACACGCUGAUCAUUGGCUUUUCAUCGUACGUAUUAAGAAGCUGAGCUGGUCAUUAUUGAAUCAGAGGCUUAGCUCCCGAUGAUGAAGAUAGGUAAUAGCAAAUAGAGACUUUUGUUCGGAUGGAAGGAGACUCGUAUCUACUCGGUGUAGUCAACUAAUUCCAUUAGAUUCUUCUGUCCAUCCUUUUGUAGGGGAAGAACCCUUUUCGCCUAGGGGACUCCUUUUUGGCCUAUGAUAAACCAUUUCAUCUUGUAUAACUAUUGAUAGCUUGUAUAACUGCAUGCGGAAGGUAAGGCUAAGCACGCAAAGCAAAGGGAAGGGAAAGCCUAGCCAACUGAAUCAUGCACCUACUUACACUUGAUGUUCAGCUGACCCCUUAACUUAACUGACGCGGAUACGAAAACAGUACUUAUUCUGUGUCCUUAGCUGGCGAAAUUAGCACUCCCUUAUGGGAUUACUUUACUACUUUACGAGCUUCUAUAUACCCUGUCCCCUUCUCUUUAGCACUUGUUCUUGUUGGGCCUUGUCAAACAAUCAUUUAUUACUGCAUGAAUAUAAGAGAGGCAUUGAAAAGACGACUCCCUUCCCGUGAGCUCACUGAUGCACCCUCUCCUUACGCACUUCGAGCAGUGAGAUGACUUUACUUCAGCAGUAUAGCAUUCAAUUCUUCUUCCAGUAUAGAGUCUGAAGCGUAAGCCGGAGAAGAAUCCUUUCUGGUUUCCUAUGUGUCAGCAGCAAUAGAUUCUCAAAGGAGAGUUCUUGUUUCACUGACUUAAUAUAGAAUAAGUGGGUAUCCAAAGGGAUAGAUAGCUUUAAGAUCCAGAAGUGGGUAUCAAAAGAGAUAGGUAGCUUUAAGAUCCAAGUCGUCAACAUCUUGUCCCGCCUUGUACUGAGUUAGAGUUCCUUUUCUUUACGCGUAAGCCAUUAGCAUAGUCACACCUCUGCUCAACUUAGAGAAAUCCCUUAUCUCUAACGCGUUACCAGACACAAGACAGGUCAUAACUACUUCUAAAGAAAAGACUGGUCAUAACUACUUCUAAAGAAAAUCAAUAUUACUCCCGUGACUCGUUGGGUUUAGAGCCUGAACCUGGAUUAUUGCCUUCUUCAGCGCACAGUAUCGGUAUCUCCUAGCUUUCUUUUGGAGAGUAUUGUUUGUCUCCUUGGGUGGGAGGUGAAGUAUCUAAUUACCUGGAACCGGAAGGUGAGGAGAAGAAGAUAGUACUGCUGGCAAGGAAUGGUUCCGAUGUAGCUCAGACAAAGUCAAAGUAGUAGAGUAGAGUUCUAUAAGAGAGGUCCACAAGAUCAUCUACAGGAUCAUCAAAGUCUCUCGGUGUUGUGGGGGAGUCUAGAACAACUUAUGAUAGUCAUAAUAUUCCUCAACAUCAGUCCAUACACCUUUCCUAACAAUAUUGCCCGGCGCGCAGGGGAACAAUAAAAUAAGUUGUUCUUUUCUUUGAAGCUGUAGUUUGUUGGGCCAGUGCUCUGUAAACUAUAAUAAUAAGCUAGUCAAAAACUCAUCAAUAUAAGUUAGUUAAUUAGGAACCGAACCUCACCGCGGACUUUUCGCUUUAAGAAAGCCCCACUUCGUGUUAGGAGUUCGCAGUUCCGUUGCUUAGUCUUUUGCCAAUACAAAAUGCAAUUGAUAAUCAUCUGCACCUCUAACUAAUAUAUUAUAGAAUGGAGUCAAAACACUCCUGUCCUUAAAGCUGACUCCCCCAAAGCUGACAUUAGCUGUUGCUUAGUCUUACUAGUUACUAGCUCUUGCUCUGUUGCUUGUUUCACCUUUUUUAGGGAAUACCAUAUAUACCCACCCGGUGGUAAAUAAUGGAUUGUGAAUGGCUCACGGUAAAUGCAUGAUUUUGAAAGGCGAAAAGAAGUAAGAAAUCCAGAAUAGGAGUAGAGACUAUCCUUUAUUACAUAAGGGGGGAGCUUCUCGACGGAAAAGGGCCAAAGCGAAUAGGAUUGAACCCCUAAGGAUAGAAAGUCAUAUCGGAAUGCUUAAAGCGAUAGAGUCGUGAACUGAGUUACUAGUGGGCUGGGCAAGAGAAGCAAUAUCGGAAUGCUUAAAGCGAUAGAGUCGUGAACUGAGUUACUAGUGGGCAAGAGGCUUGCUCAUUUCUCCUUUGUUUUGGGUUUGCCUAUCUAGCUUCUUGUCCUACGCACUAUGAUUUUCAAAAGAAGGGCUAAACGGGGCGGAGAGAGAAAGCCCUCAAAAACGAUCUUUCAUAUUCCCCCAGAGAUCCUAGUAGAAAUACAAUCCUAUAAAGAAGUGGGUUUGUUUCAGGCUUAGAAAGCGGAAGCCUAUUGUGGGGUCUAUGGCGGUCUACUACUUAGUCUAGUCUAAGUUUCCCAUUCUUUUCUAUUAAAUGACAUUCGAUAUUGCCCACGUGAAAGCUAGGAACUAGAACCACCUCCAACGUUAGUGUUCUACCAUACCGCAUAAAGGUGAACAAUUUGUCUAUCAAAAGAAAGUGACGAUUAUCUGCAUGUCUAAUGUAAUAAAGAGUGUUAUUGGUCAUUUUAUCCCAGUGUAAUAGAAUUCGAAAAAGGCAUUUAUUACUUGUGUUGAGUGAUAUGGUGACACUGUCCUCUCCUUGCGUGGAUUCCAUUCCUUGAGAUCUAAUCCAGCUAUUCGAUAUAAAAAUGGGAAUCUUCCUUUGGAUAUACAAAAGGGAAUCUUCUGAUAAGUGAGUAUAAGUGAUCGAGAAGCAUUGGUGAAAUGAAUCAAUCGACUCUCCCUACUUAGAUACAUGUAAGAUCGAAAGGGCAGCUCAUGAAUAGAAGGAAGAUCACAUAGAAUGCUAGUGUUGAGGAAGAGACGGAUGUUAGCUCUCCUGGUAUUACUUAACUAAAGCACUAACACCAAUAACAGAAGCACUAACAAAGGUAAAGUUCUCUUCUUUCUGGUGCUUUCUUAGACUCAAAACCAUCGACCCUAAAGUCUCGUUAUCGUUGUAAGUGAAGGGAGUUCUCUUAGCAAGCUAGUGAUUUUCCCCUUCCUUCGUUAGGGCUUACACUCUUCUCUUUUUCAGCUUACAACGAUUGGUUAAUUAGGAUAGGGGUGGAAAUCAUUGAAGUCGAGUCGAAUAGUAGGGCGCCAAGCAGACUAGUAGGCAAGUAGACAAGCAGACAAGACACUCAAAGACAACUUCCAAAAUCCACUCAAUAUAACGACCAAGCAUCCACUUAGAAUCUUUAUCCUAUAGAAAUAGAAGAUCAAGAAUGAGACAAGCAACGACAAGUACUGUGUUCGGGAGAAGAAUUCUGGUAUCAAAUGUAAGAGUCAGAAGAACACCGGAAGGUAUCAAACGUUUGAAUCACACCGGAAGGUAUCAAACUUAAGAGUCAGAAGAACACCUGAACUACUAUAUCUGCUGAGCAUCAAACCUUAACUACUAUCUCUCCAGAACAGGAGCAGGAGCAGUACUACCGGUAGCAAGAGGUGUUAUCGACCCCAACUAACUAUCCUUUUUGAACCCCUCGUUGCUUGGCCCGCACUCCCACAAUAACUCCACUCUUUGGAUCACAUAAAGGUUCAGGCUUCCAAAAAUCACCCUUAUUUCGAAUACUUAGCGGGCUGUAAACUAUUCUUUUUAGUCGUUGAGCUGAGGCUAAACCACGCUAAUGGCUAAUUCCCUCUCUUGUCCACCGAAAUGCUAAACUAAUGCCUUUGCUUGCUUAAUAAGACUUGCCUCUUGAAAACCCUCUAACGCUUACUUUCUUCCUCCCCAAACUAUACUUGAAGUUUGAUUAACCGACAACACUACUGUAAACCAGUCUUUUAAACGACUCCUGCCAGCGCCCAAAGAGUUUAGUAUGCACGACACUUCAAUUGACUACUUUGAUCUUUAAAGCCACCUAUCUCCUCCACUUGAAGCCAUUAGAAUGUUGCUUGAUGCAGCCUCACGCUAGACUCUACCUGUACUUUACAUAUUGUCCGGCGCGAGAGAGUAAGUUGUAGCACUUUGGCUUUGACGAACUCAACUCAACAAGCAAUAGAAUCAACUCACUAGUCAAAGGGGCUAGGGAACAAACAUACAAGCAAGAAACAAGCGCGCUAGCGAGUUCCAAGCGUUAGUCCGGCUCCGCUUUCACUCUCCCGCUCCUUACUCUUAGUCUUGAGUGCCCUCCCGCUUUUGAAACCUAUCUAUCUUUGCUUGCGUUCCGUAGCUCCUGAUCCAGAUUCUUUGCUAUCAACCUCAAACUCAUUACUGUUAUACCUUAACUAAUGCCUUAGAUCCUGUCCUUGCUGCCUACGAGCCUACCUCUAAACCAGUACCGCUGCUUUCAUUCUCUUACCAUUCUUUAGUUACUGACUUUUCUUCUGACUUGUUUGUUUGAGCCUGUCACUCUUAAACUACCAGCUCUGGGCCUGCCUCCCCCUUAUCUAAUUAUGGUUUUAGUCCAAACUAUACUUUAUGGAAUUCUGUAUUGAUAGCUUUAGUCUGCUACUCCUCUUUCUAUUAGUCUGCUUUUCCUUCUUUUUGGAUUCUGUAGUUACCGAUCUGCUUUGCUUCUUAGACUUAGGCGACCUCUGCCUUUCUUUGAUUCCAACUUUACUGGGUUCUUCAAUUGCCGAUUCUAUUUGCUUAUAUUCAUUAUGAAAUUGCUUAUUGCCUUUCGAACAUAGGAAUAAGAACAAGAAAUAGGGGUUAGGCUUAGGAUCUAGGCAAGGAUAGCUAGUAUUGGAUGAUAACUCCAUUACAGAACUACUAGCUUUGAUUAUUACUACAACGACUAUUAGGCUAAAGGCAUUAGUGCCGUAGUAAAAGCAAGACUCAAUGUAGGUAGCGGGAGACUCCACCUAUAAGUAAAAGAUCUAGAUCCGGGGGGAGUAGCUACAGACUCAAAAGCAGCAGUUGGGUUCUUUAGUUGACCUCGUCCGCAGGGGUUGGUUUAUUUAUAUCAGAAUAAAGUCUUAGAAGCACUAGUGGUAGUUUUCCUCGGAUAGGUAAUGCAAGUCAAGAGUAAAGCCCUAGAAGCUGUAGCGGGAUUCUUUAAUGAGUAAAUAAAGAGACUUUAUAAGCAUUUAUAGAAUUCAAGUAAACAGUACGUCCUCUAUUGCCAAUAAGAGGAAUGAAUGCUAAGGGAGGCUAUAAUACAUGAAAGUCAUACUUUUAGGCGGGAAAGGCAUACUCGAACAUUGGUAUUGAGACCGGGAUGGGAAUACUCAAACUCGGCAUUGAAGGUAAGGUAGGUAGGGCAGGCUUAGAAGCUGUAUCGGCAGCCCUAGUUGUACAAUCAAAGACAGGGGAUAGAAGCUCGUGGGCUGUAAUGCAAUCCUUUAUAUGGGGUUUUUCGUAUUGGAGGUAGUAGUUGCUGCCUUAUCCGUAGGAGUUCCAGCCUUGUAAGCCUCCGGGUCAGUGUAUUAUGCCCACAUUCCAAAUUCUGAGAGGCAGGGUUUAGCGGUGGUUUCGUUCUUGUACACUGGCGUUUGAUCCCAAUUAGGCCCUAUCUCAGUUAAGCUUGAGUACUUGUUUACUUGUCUCUCAUAUCCUAUAGCAACUUCUCUUUAUUCGAUUAAUAAACUAGAGACUUUCUAUUAAUAAACAAGAGACUUUAUCUUUAUUCUAUCAGUGGGUGCACUAGACCAUGCCAUACCUAUUACAUUGGCUCCAAACUGGAAUACCUAUUCUCAUUCUAUUGACUAGCGCUUUACAUACCUAGGCGAUUGACUCUAACUCUCAUUAUGAUUUGUCAUAUCAAACAUAUAUCUUUAAUUGCGACACUCAAACUAUUCCCUUACUGACCCAAGGAAUAUUCCCUAACUGUUGAUUCCAUUCUUGAACUUAUAGAUUGGAUUCCAUGUUUUUGUACUCAAUUCUUCUACUGUGGAGUUUGAUUCCACUGAUGACGUUUCGGUCCAGUAGGGUACCAAGUCAAUCUUACUUAAUGGAUAGGAUUCGCCUACUAGGGACAAAAGCCUUAAUAACAGCGGUUCCAUUCUUUUACGCCCGGGUUCGAUCCCCAGUUUUGAGUGUGAGUUUGGUUCAGUGUCUCAAUUCUGUAGUUUGUGUGAAGAGGUGAAGCCAGUAGCUGAUGAGUUCAAUCCUGUUGUUUCGGCUUUGGCUCUUGCUUUCCUAUUUCAUCCAAUAGAUCAUGUCAUAGACCUACUCGAGCUUCUAAUGCAUUUUCUGCCUAUCCAAUAGUUAUGCCAAUAGGCAGUUAGAGACAAGUCCAAAUACAAGGUUUCAAGCAAGGGAGGUUAUCCUUAAAAGAAAAGAAGUGGAGCAAGCCUUGAGCUGUAGGUAAGGUUCUAGUUCAGUAGGGGAAGUUCUCAGGUAAGUAGCGGAGUCCUAAAAGUAAGGAUAUAAUACCAACCUCAAGAAUGGAAGGCAGGAUCGAUUAUUGUUAUCCGCAGUUAGAGUUUCCGUUUUUACUAUAGUCGUCCAACCUAUUAGCAUAGUAUAUAAGCUUGAAACCAAUAGGCAAGGCUUAGAGACAGGAAGAGCGGACUCGGAGAAUAGAUAGUAAGGCUUAGCUAACGGAGAGGCGAGCUAACAAACAAGACUCUAGGGGGUAAGUCAAAGAAUGAAAAACUCACAAGCAAUACUUUAAGGCAGGAAAGGCAUACUACCAAAAAUCCAAUAAAGAGGUCAAGUCAAGGGGGACAGCCUUGGGAGCGCUCGUUCCAUUCUAUUUAGUCUAAGGGAUCGGACUUUUCUGAAAGAGAGGUAGCCUUAGAGACGGGGAAGGCAUAGCGCAAGGUAUGAGUUACAGACCAAUAGAAGGUAAAGACAGACUCGUAGACAAGAAGGUCGGGCUUUGACUUGAAAGUUCAUUCCGUACAUCCUGUUUUUGUCUUUGACUCCUUAUUCCUAGGUGUGAGUUAAGGUCCUGUUCCAUCAUAUAUAGUAGUCAAUCCUAUAUUAUAAGAUAUAGUAUUGGAACCACUAGCUUAAGCCUGAUGGUAACAGUAGUCGGAAGCUAGCAAGCAAGGAUACAAAUAAGCAGUUCAGAGUGAAAACAAGUCAAGUCAGACUUCUAAUAAGGAAAGGUAGCUUUGAAGUAAGUAGCAGCAGCCUCAUCAGUAGUACGAAGGAUGAAAAGCACGAGUUAUAGUUUGAACCUUGUAGUGGAACUAAUUAACAUACUCCUGUUGGUAACUACACUCAUUGUCCAACAAGCUACCCCCUUAGAGUCAAGGGGGGCAGGCUACGAAGUUCAAUACAGAUUGGAGAUCGGGAGCUACAGGCCAAUAGGGAAACAAGGGUUUUAAGUCAGUAAGGACAGGCUCGGGUUAGAGCAUAAGUCUUUGUGAUAUAAGUCUUUGUCGUGUAUUGGGUUCAUUCCCUCCAUAGCGUCGAUUUGAUUCUACUAGUUGGUAUUUGGAGUCUGCUUGUCUGUAGCCCUAUAUUGUAGGUUCGAGCCGUUAGUCAGUGGGUUUAUUCUAUACUAUAAGUAAAAGGAGUGAAAGGCAUGGGUGAAAGAAUGAGAAACUCUAUUUGAAGAGCGAAAGCCAAAAAGUAGAGGUUUUCGUUUAGGGUGAGAGUAUUGUUUUCACUUGUUCUAUAUGUUAGGGUGCCUCUUCUCUUCCUUUUUUUGAUAGUAUAGGGUUAGGUUCCAUAAUGCUAUUUGAUAUUUAAGGUGCCUAUGGCUAUAGGUCAAUCGAGUAAACAAGAAGGUUGAGACCUGUUUCUCUAUUAGAUAUAUAGGUAGGUAGUAGAUAUAAGUACUAAUGUGUUGGGGACGAUUGCAAAGUCAAUAAGAUGGUUUCUUGAGAGUAGGUGUGCAGGGAUCGAAUAUAGUGGAUGUUGGGUCCGAUUGGUAUAGUUUAGGGUUUAGGCGCCGAUAUGCUCUUAUGUGGAUGAGUCAAGUCCGGUACAGGAUGCCGGUCAAUAAUACUGCUGAUAUAUGGGGUGCCUCAACAAUUCUUCUAAAGAGUCGUUUUCGUUUCUAAAGAGUAGUGGUUGUUUUGUUCGGUGUUUGCAUUAAACAGCUAUUGACUCUUCACUUCAAGUUGGAUUGAUUUCAGAAUGGAGUAGAUAUCCCCAUCCUCCUAAUCAAUUAAUAUACUCAUAGGCUCUCUACGUUUGUCUUUCCUACGAGUAGCUCCGUUCCGUUUCUUUCAUAGAAUAGACAUAACGACCUAGGGGCAGUAAAGCAAGCCUUCUUUGUUCGUGCUAGGCUCGCACUACUGGGAACCUAUUAAGAAUUCAUAAAGAAGCGCAAAACCUCUAUCCUCGUCAGGGCAUGCAUUGAGUAUUAACAGGGCGAAGGGAUAUUGACGGGACUUACCUUUCAAACAGGCAUAUCUAAACUGACCUUUCAAACAAGGCGUAUCUAAUCAGUAUAGUAUCAUGGGAGAGUAGAGUGGUAGGGUCGGAACUGAGAGAAAGCUAUAUUUUGCAAUUGAUCGUUACCAAUAGCAACUUGAACUAAGUCCUCUGGUGAAUGAUCGAUGUGUGCCAGAUUGAAACCACCUUCUUUAUCAUUGGAAGAAGACCGCUUCGUAAAGCUAGGGCUGGAUACCUGAAUUGGAUCUUGAAUGCCCCGGUUAGGGCGCCUUGUGCGUGUGCUCUUAAUCGUUGGGCCUAGCUUAGCUCCAUUACUCAUUCUAGCUCUAGCCUCAUUGGGGAACAGGUCUGGCAAAAGGAGAAAGAACUAAGGCACACCCCAAACCGAAAUGCUCCUUACUUAUCUUAUAUUAUAGUUAUAGUAUGAUGUACGAUCAUAAGUUCCCAGAUUUCUCAUAAUAGGAAAGGAAGGGCUUUGGACUAUUAUGGUUUGAGAUUGAACUUCUCAUUCAAUGGGGAUCCAACUAAACCCCCAGGAAGGGAAGUGCCAAAGAAGAGGACUUCACCUAUCCUCCACCAAAGGCUAUAGGAGAAGGUACCUACCUUUUACUGAGGAUCCAAUUUCUUCUCGCUAACGCCCUUGUUGCCAUGCCCUCUAUCUCUCUCUUUGCUUUGGAUCGAGAAGGGUUGGCUCUGCCUCAGAUCUAUUCAGCUUCGACCAGACGACUACCGCUAAGUGAUGAAGUUUGUUUAGUGCGGAAUCUGGCAUACAGUUACCAAUCAAGUAGAAGUCAAUAGGCUCACUCAUAAAGCCCCCCGCUAGUAAGACAAGAAAACGCUUCGCUUGGUUGUCAUGUCAGGGCACUCUGGUAGGACGUGGCGUGGAGAAUUACCUGCAUUACGAGAAUGGGCUUCUCUUUUAAUGUAAUAGAAGAGUCACGGUCAAGUGAGCCCGGCUUUCUCCCUAAUCGACCUUACUCAGGGGAGUUGCAUUCAGUUAGGUAUAGGCUUUUUGACCUUGUGUUCUAUACUGGUAAGAGGCUAAUACUGGCAAAGAGUUAAGCAUUAACGUGUUUUGGGGUAUUAAUAGAAAAGAAGGCGCCCAACAAGGAGUAUGGACUUGGAUGCUUGCUGGGGAGAUCUAGAGAGAGUUCUAUAUCAACAUAGAAAUCCAAAGUAGUUCUCAGUUCUAUAUCAAAUAGAAGUUAUAAGUUCAAUAUCCAAUUAUUAUAAGUGUAAAUAUCAAAUUAAGGAAGAGUACGCACGGCUGACGCUGUUAGUUGAUCGAAUCAGAUACAGAUAGCUCUGGCUACCCCAAUUCUGAUCCACAUGAGGUAUGGCUCUGAGCGGAGUGGCUGAAGGCAUAGGUUUGCGAAAUCGACAUCAAAUAAGAUUGUAUAAUGGAUCCCUACGGAGGCGGGCGAAAUAACAUGAAAGAACAAACCUAUUCUUGGUAGAGUUCCCUGAGGACGUACAUAAGAGCACUAACCACUUUUGAGUGAAACUAGAAGCUUGUGCGCUUUAUUUGAUUGACCGGCCUGCCCAUCUUAUUUAUAGUAGCAUACCCCUAAGUAUCAUUUGUAUAGGAACGAAAGCAACACUUUGACUUUUGAAAGUAAUGGGCUACGCUUAUCCCUGACUAGUCAAGUAGUGGUAAGGUAGGUGCUGGUGCUGUGCUCUUCGAUGAAGAAAAUCUACAAUAUAUUAUAUACAAAUACAAAUAUACAAAUACUACAGAAAAUAUACAUACAUAUUAAUAGGUGAUUCAAUAGGUGAUUAAGGUAUCUAAACCAGAGCAGAGCAAAGUAUUCUCCGUUUUCUUGUGUCAGUGGUUAGAAAUCGAAAUUAGUGAACACGUCGCCUACUUUCUUUAAAAGGAAGCAAUUCUUCUUACCUAUAACCAAUAAGCCUUAUUACCUCUGUUUGUAAAAAUGGGGUUAUGGUUAUAGAAACCAUAGACUUAUCCAUUUGUAGAUGAACCUCCUUGUCGUAUUUAUUACCUCCUUGUCGUAUUUAUUACCUCGCCCGAAAAUCAUUGAAAAAUAUAGGCAUCCGGAAUACCGCUUAUCGACUGAAUCGCAUAUGGGCAAAUCGACGAGGAAUCACAGUAAAGCGCCCUAGUACCAUCACUCCCUUGCCGGAACAUUAGAAGACCAGUAAGACGUGGGUCCGCUCCUAAUCUUGAAUGGCCUCAUCAAUGACUGAAACACAGUAAUGAGUCACCUACUCUUUAUUUAGACAAGAAAGACGGCGGACAUUGAUGGCUCUAAGUCGGAUGGCCCCACUGGAGAGUGAGCGAAACGAAAAAGCAGUGCACACGCAAAAAACAUCAUUAUGGGCUUGCUUUACCUACCCUUUACUCAUCAUUCCGUUUUGGAAUCUACAAAGAUGAUGAAAUGAUUGGAUUAUUUCCGUCUUCUUGCUUGCUCUGUCUGAUACUAUGUAUGUGAAACCAGAAGAUAGUAGUUCCCCUGCGACGACAGGAAUCUCGUCCCUUCUACUCUUUGUUUAUGGUCCCCCAAAAGCAAAAGGAAAGAUUCUUCAUGAAAAUAGAAACCACCUAUGAGACGAUCCCUAGUCUAUUUCAUACAUUAUGCCUAGGUCAAAGGUAUGCCUGCUUUCUUUCUACCUAUGGGUCAAAGGUAUGCCUGCUUUCUACUUUCCACCUAGUUAAAUUCGAAGAGAGUCUAUCCACCCUAAGAUCAGAAAAGAGCCUAUUUCUCUUUUGUUUGAUUUAUGAGAAUCAGAGACAGGGUUCGAAUUCCUGUUGAGAAUGAAAUCAUGAAACUAAAUGAGAAACCUCUGAAAAAGACUUGUUUGUAUGGAGCUUGCAUACUCCCUGCGCGCGAUCGUAUACUUGAACCCUCGCUUUUGUUGGUGGUUCAGCGAUAGAUGGUAGUUUGCCUUAAUGAUGGAUAGCCUUGCCAAGGAUUCGAUUUCUUUAUCUUUUCAAAUAGAGAAGAGAUCGCAUUACGAUAGGACUGACUGCUGGCUUAGUAGUUCUUUCCCCGGGUACCAUGACAGUGCGAGCACCUUUUCCGAAAACCCAUUUAAGGAAGGGCAGGAUAGAGCAGUUUUCGGACUCAAAGUGUAUAUGGAUAGAACCUUGUCCAGAUUUCCUACUUUACAUCUCUGCAAAGAGAAAUCAAUUCAAUAAAAACAUGACCCAUAGCUACGAAAUGAAUCCAAUUAGGUCCCUUAAGAGAGAACUCAAUCUCAUGCAUCGAUGUAUUCCUUCUAGAACUAUAGUCGCCUGUCUUUUGAGUUCAGGGAGAUGGGCAUGUCUUCUUCGAAAAGGAGGUCGUGGUCAACGAUCAAAAGUGGCUUUGACUACACGAAUGGGAUAAGCAAGAAGAAUGGAAUGCUGUAAUACUGUCUUCUUUGGUUCUAAGAAAGAUAUUCAAAGACUCUCUACCCUACCGCCUGCCGACGAUGGACCUCAAUCACCAUCAUAGUAGGGCAAAGCUUGUAAACAAACACAGAUUUAGACCUUUCCUUUAGUGGAGAACCUAUUGAUGGAGACAUCGCAACAAUCAUCUUACAUUCAAUCUCAGAGAUGAUAGUGCGGACUUAUGAUGGGCAAAAGACUAAGAUCUAGAAAUAAUGAUAGGGCCGGGCCGCACCCUCUCGCCUUUUAGUUACUUUUACCGAAAUACGAGACUGACUCCUAAAUUCAGUCGUUCCUCACUAAAUAUAAGAUUUUGGAAAGAGUCAAACAGUCCCGUCCCUUUGGACUCGAAUUAGUUGUAUAUCAAAUGAGAUUGUAUAGACCCGCCAGCAAUCCAAAUUCUAUCUCAAUAUUAGCGCAAUGGUUCUUAUCCAUGGUUUGGCCAGAGCCCCACCUUUGUCUUUCUUGUUUGGGUGAGGAAAAAGCGGAUACAUAAGCAUCAGGCGAUAGUCAAAAGAGAAGGUUGUCUUUCACAGGACAUUCCAUUCAGUUAUCUAUAGCGGUGCCUAGCUUAUUUGUUGGAUAAUGCUUCUUCCUGCUUGAAAGCCCUUCAUGACUAGGUAGAGGGGAUUAAUCUAAAUAGAAACAAAUAUCAAUCUGGGAACGAUAGGAUCAAUCAAUGCAAUUGAAUUGAGGCGAGUGAAGCUAUAGGAAGGCAGUAGCAGACCAGACCCGAUUGGGAGGGAGUCUUUGCGUACGAUAGGUGGUAUAGGGUUUUUGGAAUGGAGUUCAAACGGAAAUGGCUCGAUUGAUUUGCUUACAGGAAAAAGACUAGUUUCAGAAAUCCAAUAAUUGGAACAAAUUGAGUGACAACGCAACGGACACCUUUCUUUCUCACUCAAAAGCUCAUCGUUUACCAACGAGUAUUGAGAGUAUAUACUCUUACAAAGACAGACCUGUGAUCCACUUUCGAUCUAAAGCACCCGAAUUCUACUCGCUUAUUUUAUUACUUUGAUAUGCGUUCAAUAUUCGAUUUUAUGGAAUGGAAUUAAGCUUCACUGCUCCUAUCCAUGCUUUCGAAUUCCUUUAUUACCGACCCAUCCUGGCUAUUUCUCCUAUUUGAGAUAUAACCCAUCCUGGCUAUUUCUCCUAUUUUAGAUAUAAUUAGAAUAAUGUCUUUGUUAACUUAUUAGUAUAGUCCACUCUUACCUUAGAUCAAAGAAAGUCAGACUGAGUAUUUUUCUAUACGAGACGUCGAUAAAUCCUUUGUAUAUGAAAUUAUUGUGAAUGGAAAGCGCAUACAUCGAGUAAAGAAAGACGGAAGAAUGGGGGAAAAUAGAGUACCACUACUGACUAAAGGAUUAUGAAACUCAAGAAAAAGAACCCUAAAAACAAGGGGGAACUGUCAUAAUUCAUACAAGUAACUAGCUAACGCCUGAGAUAGAGACCCCGUCUGUGACUCGUGAGAUAGACCACCCCGUCUGUGACUCGACUUCUUUUAGUAGUGUGCUCCAACUUACCCUUAUACUUCGCUCGGUUCGGUGCUUAGAAAACUCCAAUAACAUACCAAUAACAUCAAGGGUAAGCGUUAGCUUACCUUUUCUCUUCUCUUAGGGAGCGCUAGGGCAAUAAGCUAUGUUGUUUAGGUCACUUUCAUAUAUUAAUAAUGAGUGAAGUUAGUAAUUGUCGUUAAGAUUCAUUUCUUUCAAGUUGAGUGCACCUUUUGCCUAUAUGAGUGAUUAAAGGAAAAAUACAGGAGUUAUGAAAAUCAAGAGAAGAGUAUAGUAUGCUCCGCUCCGUUUUAGAAGCAGAAUAAGCGUGAUCGCGGACAGGAGAAGGGGUUAACUGACUCUGUGACUAUAACCUUAUUGAAUGGAAUCGAAACUUGUCGAGCUUCACUUGCUACCGAGAUACCAGCUAUAUACUUGCUACCGAGAUACCAGCUAUAGCUAUAUAGUCGUGGAAUUCAGAAGUUUGGAGGACGAGUAGGGUCGGUCAAAUAGGAAUUCAAUAUCAAUCAGUCAACCUGCAAUUAAGGGCAUAUCAUGAAUUCCAGAAUAUAUAUGGCAUAUCAUGGAAUAUAGUAACAAAACACUAUAAACUCACUUACUCUGUAGUUUCCAAUCCUUUUUUUCCCUGACAUAACACAUAUGUUCUAAUUGCAUAACUGGACUGUUUACUCCAACCAAUAAGCGUUAGAGCACCCCAAGAUAGAGAAUGAUAGAUUAGUUAGCGAGCGGCGAACUCACAUUGCGCUUACGGAGCACUUGUUCAUUCUAUUGUUUGUUCUUUUCUUCUGAGACUUAUGUCAGUUAUUAGAGUUUGGGCCAGUAUGUAAAGUUCACCUUUCAUUUCAUCUAUCUAGCCAUAUGAUCUUGAAUAGCUAAUCCAUCUUGUGCAUCAUCUCUAGCCUAUAAGGGAGUAAGAUGACCUCUUUAUAUACUCAAUGAGAAGCAUUCGCCAACCACUAAUUAGCUCCUAGCGCACACAACAAAAAGAAUGAACUAACGACCACAUGAUACGAAAACGUCACUCAUGUUUGUAACUAAUGCAGAUUCUAUCGUCGCAAAGACAGAUCAGAUGAAACUCCACCUUUCCCGCUUGCUGCUUCUGAUCUUGAUUCUGAUCCUGUAGUAGUUAAGGAUACGGCUGCCAAUAACAUAUUAUUCCCUUAAUAAAGCAGCAGGGGGCAGAAGCUUCUUUUUCUUCGUAGGGGUUUACAGACACAGCCGAUUCCCUAAUUGCCCCAUGCUAUACUCAAUGAGACUCUAUUCUUUCUACUGUUCCUUUUCCUUUAUACCUAACAGCCAGCUUAUUAGAUACAGACAGCACUGCCAGCUUAUUAUCGGCUUCAACUGAAAGUCAUUAUUAAGCUUCUUCCCAUUUCUGUAGGAUCAAAGUCGACAACACAAGAUUCAAGUCGCUAACUCUUUUCGGCAGUUUAGAAUUCCAUGAAACAAUUCCAUUCUUUAUCGGGGAAAUAACCAACAAUGAAAUUAUGUAUUUGGAGGCACCGGAUAUAGGCAUGAGUAAAGACACUGAACGCACAGGGACAAGCACUUCUGGACCAAUACUGGAAUCUGGAACUACACUUUCCACUGCUUCUUCAAAUGGUGUUGGAGUGGAGUAUAUCAAUUAGUAAUAUGAAAAGGAUCUAUACCCAGGCUCGCUAACAGAGCUGUUUCUUCUCAAGUCGACAACACUAAUUGACUUUGCGCUUACAGCUUCCUUUAGUACUGCUUAUUCUCCCCCACUCUUGCUUCUGCCUUUGUCCUAACCCUAUUUGGAUAGUGAAAUAAGGGUUCUUUGAUAGUGAAAGUAAGCGUUCAGCUGCCUCUGCUCUAUAUGAGUAGGUGUGUGACCUCUGUUCUAUAUGAGUAUAGUGUAUCAAACUCGUCAACUUCAUAGCUUACACUGCUUAAAGAAAUGAAUCUGUAACUUAGAAGGGGAACUCACACAUCAAUCUCUGACUCUCGGAUCCAGCUGGGUUAGUCCGAUAAUUUGUGUCGAACCUUGCUUGGGCUGGCUUGGCUCUAAGAAGAAGAUAUAGUAGAUGAAAGAGGCUCCACGCUAUAACAGUGAAAAGAUUUAGCAGGUUAAGAACUUCAAGUUUAGAAUAGGUCGGCUCAAAGGCAAGUAAGGGAUCCACCAACCAAGGUAAGAAGCAUAAGCUAGAUAAGAUUAUGUAUAAAGUGGAGUUUACUUUAGAUAAUGUCAGAAUUUCCGUUUAUAGCUUAGUCUAUAAUUCAGUGACAGGGAGUACAUUCCUUCCCUACCCGGAGACAUAGUCCGCAAGUGGUUUAAGUGCUUGUGUCUAAGGCUUCUUUAAGUAGAGUUCUAGACUAAAGUAGAGUAGAGUUCCAGUUCUCAAGUAGUCUACGAGAGAAUCAGCAAUUACUGGCUUUGAAGAAGAAGCUUUAUCAAAAUCAGAAGCAGUUUCAAGAGAAGUAGCAGAAUAUCUUACUGGCUACGCAGGGUGUUGGGCAUCAUAUCUUACUGACUUUUCAAGUUGAAGCUAGGUGUGGUCCACGUCGUCGAUUGAAGCACGGUGACACUGAAUACGAGUUAUUAAGUUCCAGAAGAGAGAGACGCCGCUCCACUCUUUUUGGUAGUGUUCCAUCCUUGUUAGCAGUGGUUUCCUUCUUUGUUUGACCUUAGACUCCUUUCUUCGAUUCUGACUUUGGAGCUUACGGACUGACGCUACACUCUUUUGGUUUGAUUCUUUGUUUCUACCUUGAUUCUUAUACCUAUGAGCUCGAUUCUACGCCUAUGGGAAAAGAAAGGCUAUCCGCCAGCACUCGCCCAUUAUGGGACUGUUGAGUUGGACUCCCUAUGGUUGGACUACCCUUUUGUAUUCCUAUUAGUCUCAUGCGCUAGUAGCUCGGACCCGACCCUUAUUCUUAUCCCCAUGGUCGAAAGACGGCAAUUGAAUAAGUAGAGGCGAGAAGUCAGCCUAAAAGCGAGGGCUGCUUUAGAUGCCUGAGAUUCCAUAAUAUAAGUUGGAAGGGAAAGUCAGUAAGUUACAGUUCCAAAGUUCUCCUGUUCCUGUUCGAGUUAUAGUGUUUUCUUAUAAGGAAUACAGUAACCAAGGAGAUAUAAAGGAAGUAGGUAACACCAAAGUGAGUUGAACCAAUUCCAAAUUCUAAAGAGAAUCACCAAAACUCGAGAAACCGAAUUCAUGCCUUGUUUUUUGUUUGUUGCUAUACACUUAACACUAAGCAACUCCACGCCAAAAAGGUCUCGAUCAAGGGCCUUCCGCCUUCUCGUGCCACAGCUCUAAUCCGAAUGGCUUCAACUAUGAACGCAAUUUCCAGUUCGAGCAAGAGCCGUUUGUUUUUCGAGAAAAUCCAGAAACUAGAAAACGGAUCGUCGUUAAGUCCGGCUUGCAGAACCGUCUUUCGGAUAACUAUAAGUGUGAGUCGGUUAGCUCCUUUUUCUGUUGCUGUAGUUGGUCGAUAAACACUCCUAUAUUUCGUAAUGAAAGACUUAAUUCAGUGAGCUUGGUACCGCCUGUUCAAGGGGUUGGAGGAGAUCAAACCCAAGAGAGGCCCGAGCACAACGUCUUCAUGAGUUAAGUGUUCCCACCUUGGGAGCUGAGAGUCAGGCCUGCAUUAGUGGAAUAUCCUUUACAGCCUUCCUUUAUCCGACCAGACAACUAUUCUAGUUCCACUUUUGAUACCGGGCAGAGCAGCUAAAGUGGCUUCAGCCUCUUUCUUUUGGCAGUUGCUUGCGAAGAAUUUGGGUAUUACUUAUCCUAGCUCAGAUAGAGCACUUGAGAGAGAAUUCGAAUAGUAGGGUUUGGAUCGUAAGCACAAUGGACUCGCUGCCUUAUCUGUCAUAUAGGAAUAUCGAUAGCGAGCAGUACCCAUCGGUUGCAGCUAUAAUCGUUUGCAGCUAGUACCCAUCGUUUGCAGCUAUAAGUAUAGAGCUCGUUCUUUUCUUACUUACCCGACGGUCGGAACUUUCAAAGGAUUCUCCCCAUCUAAAGAGCACUUCGUUCCUAAUAAAUGCAGACGGAAAGGUAGGACGGACCAGUGGAAGACUUAUGUCGAGAAGAACGUAGUGGCUUGUUGGCACAGAUGCCUUAAUUGAUCUUGUUGGCACAGAUGCCUUAAUGGAGAAUUGCAUCCAUCCAAUUAUGCACUUAAGAGAUUGACAGUCCUCCGCUCAGGCAAAGAAAAAACCGAAUCUUAUUAUACUUAUAUUGGAUCCAAAUUGAGAAUAGAACCUAAAGGUUGGUGGAUCAUGGUUCUACUAAGCGCCCUUCACCCCUGGUCCUUCUCAUAUGUCUUAUACUGGAAUGGCAUUUUUCUUAGGGUAAGUUCUUUGUCAAUAAAUUGGAUGCCCUAAGACGUAAUCAAGCCUUGCCUUUUCUUUUUGUUCUCGAUCUCUUCUCUUUAGAACUUAUAAAUAGCACGUAAGCAUGACAAAGGAUGGGAGCGGUGAUUGACCAGAAACAUUCUGUAAAAACAGAAAAGAGUAUCUUGCUGGAAUGGAUUUCAAAGAGCAAUCGUAAGGCCCACCAAUCUAACGCCGACAAGUGGUAAGACUAUCCCUCGUAAGACCGACAUUCCUCAUUCACUUCGAGGUGUGGCGCUAACUAGGCAUUCAACGAAAACGGAAUUAGUGCUUAACUGAAACUCCCCG